GGAUAAGCCUGGAGAGCAUCAGUUGUUCGCUAAGUUGAGGAAGUGUAGCUUCUGGCAAAGGAAUGUUGUAUUUUUGGCUGACAUGGUUUUGGAAGCAGAAUUUUGAUGGAUCCAAAGAAGAUUAAUACCGUUUCGGGAAGGUCGAAACCUAAGAGCGCUACAAAGAUCUGCCGUUCUUUUUGGGUUAAUAGUGUACUACUGGAAGUUCAUCAAGGGUUUCCCCGGUAUAGUAAUGUUAAAGACGCGGUCUACAUGUAAAGACGUAAAGUGUGGCUGGAUAGAUUUUGUUCGAGGAGUUUCACUGAAUUGAAGCACAACUAAUGAAGACACCAGUUUUGGGUUCUACUGAGGCUGAGGCUUACUGUGAUGUGUCAGAUACUGGAUUGGAUUUAAAUUAAGGUAUGAGGAUUAAGUCAUUCAUAUGCAUCAUGCCAGAGAGGCUGUAGUGGUAUUUGCGUUAUAGUUUUGGAAAUCAUAAUUGUACGGGAAGGAAGUUUAGAUUCUCUGGGAUUAUUAGAAUGUGAAAUUUAUCUUCAUUUAUUAAAAACUUGUACUUGGACAGUGCAAUUGGAUUGAGUUUGUAGCAAGCUAUAGUUUGGAUAUCACAUACUAUCUGGUAAGGACAACCAGGUGAUAAAUGCCUUGGGUAGGCGUAUGAGCUGUAUCUCAGGAACCAAGAAGGUUCAUGAGUUUACUGGGAGAUUUGCUAGUCUCAGGUUGGGUGCCAUUACUAUCAAUGGAGAGACAGAUGUCCUUGAGGAUUGGAGCAUGCAGUUUUGCUAUGGAGGAUACGCAAGCACAAGUUAGCAUUGGAUUUGGUUGAACAGAUCGAGAUUGAGAGUAUUGGAUAUCAUACAGCUUUGAGCAGGAUAUACUUGUACCGGAACCGAGUUUGUGUGUUGGACGAUAAGUUGUUAAGAAAAAGAAUCUUACAACAAACAUAUCACUCGAGUUUCUCUACCCAUCGGGAACACCAAAGGGUACAAAGAUAUGAAGAGUUAACUAUAAUUGGUGUAGUGUGAAGAUGUUUGUAACUACAUUACGUCGCGGUGCCAGACAUGUUAUCGGGCAAUGACAGAGGAUCAGUUAUCUAUUAUGUUAUUUUUUGAGCUUGUUUUUGCCGGAGUGGAAAUGAGGCAUGGUGAUUAUGGACAUUGUUAUUGGAUUUUAAAUCACCAUAUGUGGAAAGGAUGCCACAUGGGUAGUCAUGGAUAGACUUACAAAGUCAGCCCAUUUCCUAAGUAAUUAAGAAGAUAAUCAGGGCUAAUCAAUUGGAGCAGACCUACAUUAUUGAGUUUGGGAAGUUUCAUGGAUGUCAACAUUGUAUCGGAUUGAGAAUCGAAGUUCACAUCUACAUUUCAGAGAGCCUUUCGGAAGGCACUUGGGACAAAGAUCAUAUGAGUACAUCUUAUCACCCGUUGACAUAUUGUCAGUCAGAGAGGACUAUUCAGACUUUGGAGGAUAUGCUCAGAGCUUGUGUUUUAGAUUGGGAAGGUAGUUGGGUGAAGUAUCUACCUCUAGCCGAGUUUGCCUACAACAACAGCUAUCAUUCGAGUAUUGGGAUGGCACCAUAUGAGGCUCUAUAUGGUAGGCCUUGUCGCACGCCACUUUGUUGGACGGAAGUGGGAGAACAACGUGAGAUAGAACCAGCCAUGGUUCAAGAGACAGUCGAACAGGUCGAGAUGCUCAAGAUGCGGCUUAAGGAAGCCCAUGACCGUCAGAAGAGUUAUGCAGAUAAACGGCGAAGAGAUUUGGAGUUUCAAGUUGGCGACCUAGUAUACCUGAAAAUGAGGACAUUUCAGGGAGGAUCUAAGACUCGGAAGCUAAAGAAGCUUAAACCAAGAUAUAUGGGACCAUAUCCUAUUUUGGAGCGGAUUGGAGCAGUUGCUUACCGACUAAAUUUAUCAGGAGAGUUAUCAGAUUUCCAUGACGUGUUUCAUGUUUCCGUUUUGAGGAAAGUAGUGAGAGAGCCAGAGCUCAUUUUGCAGCAACCACCUAGAAACCUUGGCAAAGGGUUACGUGGGUUGUGCCAGCCAGUAGAGAUAUUGGAUCGCCAAGUGAAAGCAGAUCGUGGAAUGAUGACCAUGUUGAUCAAGGUUCGUUGGGAGGGAGACGGAAUUCAGGAGGAUACCUGGGAGUCCGAGCCCCAAAUGAGGAUUGAUUAUCCAGAGCUGUUUCGGGAUGUCAUUGGAGAGUUUGGAGAUGUGAAUUCGGGGUCGAAUUCCUUGUUAGUGGGGGAGAAUUGUAAUGACCCACCUCCACUAUCCCCACUAUCUCCACCAUCUCCACCAUCCCCACCACUCCCACCAUCUCCACCAUCCCCAACUUCUUUAAAGAGAAAGAGAGAGAGAGGGAGAGAGAGAGAGAGAGAGAAAGAGAGAGAAAGCUCACCUGAGCUCGUCGCCGGAGCAACCGUGUGCCGUGAUCACGUUCAGCUUGCCACCACCGAUAAACGCCCUAGGUAACCGCCGAAAACCGCAUUUCUUAAGCUCAUUUUCGUUUCCGUUUAGUAAAUCACCCAUAACUUCCUAACCAUUGAUCAUCUCGUACAUCCAAGGCCAUCAUCGUGUUCCUCUCGUCGAGACGAAGCCGUAGACACCAACCACGCCUCAAACGGAGCCCGGACGAAGCCGCACGCGCCUCCCGAAGAUUCGCCUCGGCGCGCGCGUGAAACACACGCGCCACCGCCUUCCGCCGGAGCCACCGCGAGUUCCGGCCACGCGCCGCCGUCUCCGACCAACGUUCGCCGGAGCUGCCGUGACCGACCACCGUCCGUCCGCCGCCGAGAAGCCGCCGCCGCGUCGCCGCCUCGCCGCCGUCGCCGCCGUUGAUUUUCCGGUAAGCCGCCGGGGACCGACACCGGUGACUCGCCGGUGACUCGCCAACUCGGCCGAGUCAACCCGGUGAGUCAACUCGGUGACUCGGUCAACCUGUGGUUUGACCGGUUUAAAUCGAUUUCGAUUCGGUUAGGUUAAACCGGUCGGAUAAAAUCAAUUGGAAAUCGGUUAGGGAAAACCGGAUUAAUUAAUUAAUUAAUUAAAUAAUUAAUCUUUGACCAGCGGGUUGACUUUUCCGUAAAUACCCGUUUUAAACCGUUCGAAAGGCGUUCUGACUCGAAAUUUCGAUCUGAUUUCAGAUUUGGAGUCCAUUUGAGCAGCUGGAGUUCAUAGAUAUCUCUUAUUAUUGCUAAGGUGAGGGUCUAUUCCCGAACUCCUCUUAUUCGGCUUAGGACCUCGAAUAAGUAUAAUUUAUUUCUAAUGUGUGAAAUCGAGUCUGUCAUUGCUUGUUUAGUUUUAGGUUCUUUGCAUAAACCGGAACUAGGGGGUUAGAGGAUUCAACAUUGAUUGUUUCACUUAAUGUAAAUUCUUAGCUAGGAUUGUUUUUGUUUGGAGACGGAUACAGAGUCGGACUGCUGUAUGCCGGAUUGUAUGGAGGUCACGGCCAACUUUAGUCGACCGGUUGAGCCGUAGACUGGAAGUGUCGAUAAAUCGUCUACGGGCGUGUGUUACCGAGCACUUUUUCGGUGUGUGUAUGAACCGAGCACCUUUUCGGUAGUGUUUUGGCCUGUUAGUGGGCAGCGAGUGUGCACCUCGCUAGGACCAUUGUUUGUUGUUUGGGUACUUUAGGUACUGUGUUUGACAUGCAUUAUAAUUAAAUUAUAUUUAUUCGGAGUGCUAUGUCCGGGUCCAUGGACUUCGGGGUGGCAUUCCCUACCUCACUGAGCGAUUCCCCUGUCGCUCACCCCUCACUCUUCCCCCUUUCAGGUGAGACAAACAAGUAUGUGAUAUUUGGACGGACUUGGUGCUACUGGACUUUUCUUUCGGAUUUUAUUUGGGCAUGGGUGAGAGUUGUCGGGUUUAUGGGCUUUUAUAUUACGGGAUAUUGUUGGUGGCCCGUCGUCCUUAGUGUCAGGGAGACGGGUGUCACAUUGUUGUAUGAUGACGCGUCGGGGGUGACACGCUGUCCUCCAUAUAGGAGGUGACGGGUGUCACAAUCAUAUCUUUUUCAUUUCAUCUCAUUAAAAGCUACAACCUUUUCUACGUGUAUCCAUCAUCACCAUAUAAAAAAUCUAACAAUAUCUCUGAACGAAAUAGUGACAAUUCAUUAAUAUCCACGCAAAGCAACAAAAUAUCUCAUUUUAUGAAUUUGUAGUUGUCUUUGUCAAAUGUAGAUGAGCAUGAGCAGCCCGCAGUUCCACCACCCGCGGCUCCACCAGUUGAUCAGGAUGCAUUGAGACAGAUGGUUCAGGAUGCCGCUAGACAGGCCGCUCAGGAAGCACUUCAGCAGAUUGCCCAGGAGGCAGCCAGGCAGGCCGCUCAGGAGGCCGCCCGAGUAGCUGCUCAGGAGGUUGCUCGUCAGAUGGCUACCGUUCAGCAUAUGAGCCAUUGGUUGGCAUGUGUUGUUGUGUGUACGAGUAUAUUGACUAUUUUGGAGAUAUAUUUGUUUUGUGAACUCGUGGAGAUCGCUUUUGAAUUGGGGUGCAGCAGCUUGCGUUGUGUGGGUGUUGGAGUUACACUUUGGUAUGUUUACCAAUUUUGGCAGUGUUGAUCGUUUCAGAGAUGUGUCAGUUUGGACAACUGACAUAGGACAUUGGGAGCUAUUUAUAUUCAUCGCAGUGUACCAGUUAUGCUUGGAGGGCCGAUUUGUUCGGAUAUUCAUCAGAGAUGGAGCUACGUUUUUACGACGUUAUCCUUGGGACAGAUUGAUUGUCACGGCAUCAAGUAGUGUUGGAUUGCCUGAGGGCAAGAGUUCCGAUUGCUGGAGCAGAUGGAAGUUGUUAGUGCAUGCAUGCUACAUACUGAGGAGUUAUGGGAUACAAGGACAUAUAGAUUUUUGACUACCAUCUCGAUGGUUAAGGCUGAUGGACAACAUGAGCUGCAGGAUCUUCCGGUUAUUGCAGAGUAUGAGGACAUAUUUGUGACCUUUGGAACGGUCACCACAUGACACAUGAGAAACUCUUGCGAUUUGUUUGGAGCAAACAACACCAGUUUCACAAGUUUUAUACCGAUUAGCACCAACAGAGAUGACAAAGCUGAAAGAGCAUGUUGAAGAUUCAUCAGACAAGGGUUUUAUCAGACCGGGUACUUUACCGUGGGGAACAUCAUCAUUGUUGUUGUAAAGAAGAAAGGUGGGAGUUUCAAUUUUGUAUCGACUGCAAAGGUCUGAACAAAGUGACCAUUAAAGAUAAGUAUCGCUUCCGCGCGUUGAUGAUUUAUUGGAUUAUUUAUAGGAAGUUUAUAGUUCUUGAAGGUUGACAUGGCAUCAGAACACCAUCAGAUUACUAUAUUUGAAGAGUAUCUACUGAAUGUGAAUUUUUGUAUACAUUAUGGAUAUUAUGGGACGCAGUGAUACCAUUUGGCUCGACAAAGGCAUCGUUGCAUUCAUGAAGAUAUGAAUGACGUUUUCGUGAACAUUUGGAUAUGUGUGCGAUUGUAUUCAUCGAUGACAUCCUGAUUUAUUUUGGAGUAGAAAGGAGAUUUGUGAGCAUUUUGCGGAUUGCAUUGGAUAAGCCUGGAGAGCAUCAGUUAUUCGCUAAGUUGAGGAAGUGUAUCUUCUGGCAGAGGAAUGUUGUAUUUUUGGAUAACAUGGUUUUGGAAGCAGAAUUUUGAUGGAUUCAAAGAAGAUUAAUACCGUUUCGGGAAGGUCGAAACCUAAGAGCGCUACAAAGAUCUGCCGUUCUUUUUGGGUUAAUAGUGUACUACUGGAAGUUCAUCAAGGGUUUCACCGGUAUAGUAAUGUUAAAGACGCGGUCUACAUGUAAAGACGUUAAGUGUGGUUGGAUAGAUUUUUGUUCGAGGAGUUUCACUGAAUUGAAGCACAACUAAUGAAGACACCAGUUUUGGGUUCUACUGAGGCUGAGGCUUACUGUGAUGUGUCAGAUACUGGAUUGGAAUUAAAUUAAGGUAUGAGGAUUAAGUCAUUCAUAUGCAUCACGCCAGAGAGGCUGUAGUGGUAUUUGCGUUAUCGUUUUGGAAAUCGUAAUUGUACGGGAAGGAAAUUCAGAUUCUCUGGGAUUAUUAGAAUGUGAAAUUUAUCUUCAUUUAUUAAAAACUUGUACUUGGACAGUGCAGUUGGAUUGAGUUUGUAGCAGGCUAUAGUCUGGAUAUCGCAUACUAUCUGGUAAGGACAACCAGGUGAUAAAUGCCUUGGGUAGGCGUAUGAGCUGUAUCUCAGGAACCAAGAAGGUUCAUGAGUUGGAGAUUUGCUAGUCUCAGGUUGGGUGCCAUUACUAUCAAUGGAGAGACAGAUGUCCUUGGGACUUUGGAGCAUGCAGUUUUGCUAUGGAGGAUACACAAGCACAAGUUAGCAUUCUGGAUUGGUUGAACAGAUCGAGAUUGGGAGUAUUGGAUAUCAUACAGCUUUGAGCAGGAUAUACUUGUACUGAAACCGAGUUUGUGUGUUGGACGAUAAGUUGUUAAGAAAAGGAAUCUUACAACAAACAUAUCACUCGUGUUUCUCUACCCAUCGGGAAGACCAAAGGGUACAAAGAUAUGAAGAGUUAACUAUAAUUGGUGUAGUAUGAAGAUGUUUGUAACUACAUUACGUCGCGGUGCCAGACAUGUUAUAUGGCAAUAACAGAGGAUCAGUCAUCUAUCAUGUUAUUUUUGAGCUUGCUUUUGCUGGAGUAGAAAUGAGGCAUGGUGAUUAUGGACAUUGUUAUUGGAUUUUAAAUCACCAUAUGUGGAAAGGAUGCCACAUGGGUAGUCAUGGAUAGACUUACCAAGUCAGCCCAUUUCCUAAGUAAUUAAGAAGAUAAUCAGGGCUAAUCAAUUGGAGCAGACCUACAUUAUUGAGUUUGGGAAGUUUCAUGGAUGUCAAAAUUGUAUCAGAUUGGGAAUCGAAGUUCACAUCUACAUUUCAGAGAGCCUUUCGGAAGGCACUUGGGACAAAGAUCAUAUGAGUACAUCUUAUCACCCGUUGACAUAUUGUCAGUUAGAGAGGACUACUGAGAACUUAAAUGAUAUGUUCAGAGAUUGCGUGGGAUGGAAUUUCGGAAACCAUCUACCUUUACCAGAGUUUGCCUACAUCGACAAUUAUCUUUCGAGUAAUGAGAUGACACCGUAUGAGGCUAUUUAUAAAAAAAAAAAAAAAAAAAAAAAAAAAAAAAAAAAAAAAAAAAAAAAAAAAAAAAAAAAAAAAAUUAACUAUACAAGGGUUAUUUAUGGUAGACCUUAUAGUAUACCACUUUGUUGGACCAAAGUGGGGGAGCGACAUGAGUUAAAAGUAUUAAUGGUUCAAAAGACGGCUGAGCAAAUGGAAAUGCUCAAUGAUGGGCUUUCGGAAUCCCAUGACGUCAGAAGAUUUAUGCAGCUAAGCGCCAUAAAUAUUUGGAGCUACAUAUGGGCGACUUAAUAUACCUGAAAAUAAGGACAUUUCAAGAGGGGCCUAAGACUCAGAAGAUAAAGGAGCUUAAACCGAGACACAUGGAAUUGUAUCCUGCACUGGAGUGGAUUGGAUUAGUUGCUUGCUAUUACUUUAUCAGCAGUAUAUCAGCCUUCUAGGACUUGGUUCAUAUGACAGCAUUGCAAAAGUUGAGAAGGCGCUAUAAUUAUUUUGCAGUUGACGUCAAGUGAGUUCAUAAAGAUUUUAUGGACCUUAUCAUCUAUUGAAGAUUUUGGAUCAUCAAGAGAAAACAGUUCGGGGAAUGGCGACCGUGUUUGUCCGAGUUCGUUGGGAGGGAGAUAAGACUCAGGAGGAGACCUGAAAGGCCGAGCGAGGAUUAGAAUUCGAGGUUUUGGAGGUUUUUCUAUGAUAACAUUGUGUAUGUCAGCUUAUGACUUAUAAGAAAUGAUUUGAUUAAUGCAUAGUUGCCAGGUGUUAAUCUCAGUCUUGUCCCCAGGUUGUUGUUUAGAUUGAGAGAAAGAGAGAGAGAGAGAGAGAGAGAGAGAGAGAGAGAGAGAGAGAGAGAGAGAGAGAGAGAGAGAGAGAGAGAGAGAGAGAGAGAGAGAGAGAGAGAGAGAGAGAGAGAGAGAGAGAGAGAGAGAGAGAGAGAGAGAGAGAGAGAGAGAGAGAGAGAGAGAGAGAGAGAGAGAGAGAGAUUUACCUGUAUUCUGAGACCGGGAUUGCAUUAGUGUUCUCUACUUGAGUACUUCCGCCAUUGAAGAGUAGCAUGUCUUCUUCCCCUCUAACAUCUAAGGUUUCGCAUAAGCAGAGAGAAUAGAUAGGGUUUGUAAUUGUCGGAUAGAAGCAUCCCUGGAUUGACCGAAGAGGUGGGGAAACUUACUAGAGAGCCAACUUUUCUCAUGCCCCCAUAUGUUUAGCGCAAUCUCAAAUGUCCUACACCCCAUUGCUUUAAUUAAAUAUGAAUAUCCAAUUUUGCCUUUUUGUAUUUUCGAAUUAUUUUUUAAAAAAAUUCAUAUUUUCAAAAUUUCUAAUUUUCAAAUUUGGAAUACUGCAUUAUAUUGAUAUAGUUUUACUGAUUAGUUAUAUAAUAUCGAGUUGUACUUCUGAAUUAGUUAUACUGAGUUCUACUGGUUAUACUAGUUAAACUGAGUUAUACUGGUUAUACUGAGUUAUACUGGUUAUACGGAGUUAUACUUUGUUAUACUGGUUAUACUGAGUUAUACUGACUUAUACUAGUAAUACUAGUGAGUUAGAUAUACCGAGUCAUACUAGUUAUACAACGUUAUACUAGUUAUACUGAGUACUACUGAAUUCUUAUACGAAGAUGAAAUAAAUAAAACACGAUUUAUACUCUGAAAAGGAGAACAAAAACAACAAGAAACCAAAAUCAUAAAAAAAUCAGAUCUAGAGAGAACAACAAGAACUGUAAUCACACAAAAUCCAGAACCUUAUAGUAAAACUUUAUAAAAAAAACACAGAUUUGGAGUGCGAGAAGAAGUAGAUCUGAAGUGCAUAGGUUGAGCCGUUGCUGUUUUGAACAAAUCUAUAGCAUAAGAAGAAGAAGAAUCGCCAUUGAUGUUGUUUCUAUAACCUUCGACAGUUGUUUCAUCACUUACAGCAGAUCCGAUUUGAUAUUAUGUAGAGAAAAAGAGAAAGAAGAUUAAAGAAGAGAUGAAGAACGGGAAAAUUUGCAGAGAAAAGAAAGAGAAGAAGGAAGAAAAGAAGAGAAGAAAGAAGAAAAUGAAAGAAAAAAAAUUGUUGGCGGUUGUGUUUAUUAGAUUAGGUUAGAAAGCAUAAGGGUAAAUCAGUAAAUGUCUUAAUUUAUGAAUUAAAAGAAAAUAAAUUUAUAAAAAAAUAGAUUGGGUCCUCUAGAGAUUUUUUCUAAACAUAUAGGGGUAAUAGAGGAGAUGCUUCUUCGCUGGAGUUGUGCCUGAGUCUGGGUUUGAGAUCAAUAUAUCGAGUGUAAAAGAAUCAAACUCUUUUUUUCUAGAUAUGAAUGAGUGAAAUUUUUUUGUUGAGAUGAAAAAGGACUUGGCAAAAAUAUAAAUUUCCCCAAAAAAAAAAAAAAAAAAAGUUUUCGUGUAAAAACUAAUUUUUCGGUAAGUAUUGGCGGUUUAAAGUGUUACCAAAACAAAAUUGGUUCUAAAAUGGGUUUUUGAUUUCCCGCUUAAUGAAAGUCCUGUAUAGCGUUGAUUUAAUGCUACGAUAGAAUUAGGAUCUGAAUUUUGACACUUUUAGUAGCAGUUGGUGAAUUCGUGUUACCGUGAACUGCUACCAGUACUUAUAUUUCUAGUAGUGGAGCUUCGAUCGCCAUUAGAUCAAAUUUAGUUAGGUUUAGUCUAGGUUUUUGUUCCUUGCAAAAACUGCUAAUUUUUUUUCUUGUAUUUUCAGAUGCAUGCCUAGCAGUACCAGAAGCAACAAGAAACAAACACUGCUCUUUUCAGAUCCUGCAAACUUAGAACGCUCAAUCCGUAGAGAAAAACGCACCACAUCGAUCGACAACAGCACCCGUUCGUCGACCGACACUCGCCUUCCACCGUCGACCGAGAACUCUUCCGUCGACCACCCAUUCCCACCCGACAUCGAUCGACAUUCCACCUCGGACAUCGAUCGAUACUGAGACGCGAGACAUGGUUGCGACUAUAGUUCUAAAUCAGGACGCGACUGGAAACAUGCAUGACUAGGAGGGUCAUCUGCGUAAUGUAGCAGGUCAGAAGAUAGAUGAUCAAGGGGUUAUAAUCCCAGAUACUGAUGCUGAUAAUGCAGCUGCUAAAGCUGUAGACAAGGGGUCUGGACCGAGGACAUUAGCUGAUUACAACAGGCCAGAUCAGUACUACAAGAACAGAUCUGCCGUCCGUCCUCCAGCCAUUCAGAGGUAAGACUUUGAGUUGAAAUCUCAGUAUUUUACACUUGUGGGACAUACACCCUAUUGUGGGUUAUCACACAAGCAUCCUAUUGACUAUCUGGAAAGGUUCAAGGAUCUAGUUUCUGCUAGUAAAGCCAAUGGAGUCCCUGAGGACUAUCUCUUUUGCAAGCUCUUCAAGUACUCACUUGCUGGAGAGGCUUUGCACUGGCUUAAGCAACUACAGCCAGGAUCUCUUACAUCCUGGGCUGACAACAAGAACACAUUCUUAUGUAACUUCUUUGAUGAGGCCAGCGCUGAAGACUUGAGAAGUAAGAUUGUUACAUUCACACAAGAGCCCACAGAGUCAUUCAGAAGCUCCUGGAUCAGAUUCAAGUCAUAUCAGAGAGACUGUCCACACCAUGGAUUCAAUGAAGUGCAACUGCUCAGCAUUUUUUUCAGAGGCAUCGCGCUGGCAUAUCAUAUGGAUCUAGACUCAGCUAGUGAUGGAAACUUCAACACUAGGCAUCCAGCAACAGCACCAAGAACACUGAUUUCGAAAGGAAAAAAUUGACCACUGCCCUAGGAAAUGAGCAGCUGGACGAUGUUAAGGCUAAGCUGGAUAGUGUGUACAAGCUUCUCAAGAAGCAACUCAGUUUUGCAUAAGAUGUAGAGACUGCAGAUGUCGACAGUGACAUAGAUGUAGAGAAGGAUGGGAACUUCGUUAGUGAUUCAGGCUUUCACAAUCAGAGGUCUGGAAAUCAGAGUGGAUACAGAAACUCGUUUGGCAAUGGACAGAAGAGUGGAUACAACCAGAGUUCACAGUACCAGAAACCCUUCAGCAGCAACAUAUCUUAUGGAAAUUCUUUCUACCAGAAUCAACAAUCACAGACUCGAGAGAGCAAUAUAGAAUCCAUGAUUGAUCAAGUUCUUGAGGGUCAGCAGAAGUUGAUGGUGAACUUCAAUGGAAAGAUAGAUGCUGUCUUCACAGAGCUGAACUCAAAGUUUGAGUCUUUGAACAACCAUGUGAGGAAGUUGGAGAAACAUGUAGUUCAGACAUGAGAGACGGUUAAGAGGCAGGAGGCCUUCAUCAAGGGUAAAGGUGAUGAAUCACUGAAGCACCACGUGAGUGCCAAACAGCCAUCAUAGAUGAUGAUUUCUGGCAAGUGGUAAAGGAGGAGAAGCUUAAGAAAGGAGACUUACAAGUCGAAAGCUCCAUGACCUUCGACAGAUCACACUGGUGUCGACCAACGCCAAGAGAUGAAUAUCGACCGAUGGAGACAUAUGAGAAUCGAUCGAUAUCACCUAAUCCACAUCGAUUGACAGAGGAGGUUGCAUCAUGCACGACAUUAAGGAUUCUAACUCACGAGGAGUUCGCAGCUGAACACCCUCAUCCACCCAAACCCUUCCGCAUCAAGAAGUCGGACAUCGAUCGGCACCAUAAGCCAGCUACCGAUCGAUGGACAUACUCCACUGACGAUCAACACGACCCAACCAGUGUCGAUUGACGACCACCUCUGACCUACCGAGUGCAGCUACCAAAGAUAGAUGUAGCAUGCCUGUAUGUUAUCUGCAACCCAUCUCAACCCUCAAAACACAUUGCAGACAACUUCAGUCAACAUUCUGAGGAUGCACCAGAGUCUAUGCACGUUGAUCAGACUUCUGAGAGGAGAACCUUGAGGAGAAGGAAGGAAAAGGUUCCCAAGCAUCAAAAGAGAGGAGUUAAUGAGAAGGAGAUGGAGAUGGAUAGCUUCACCAAAAGAGUCCUCAUGAUACCUUUGGACAAGCCGUUUGAGGAGACUUACUUCACCCACAGAUUGUGGAUGUUCUUUAGAGAGACCAAGGAAACUGAAGAAAACAUACAUAUGAUCUUCAAUCAGAUCAGAGAGAAGAUGAAGCAGAGGAUUACACUGAAGAAGAAGAUCGAUCCAGUGCCAUGUUUAGUGAAAGGCAUUGAGUUUCCAUGUGUGCUGUGUGACACAGGUUCUUCAGUCAGCAUACUACCCAAGGUAAUGGCAAACCAUCUGGGUCUGAUGAUAGUGCCUUCGGAGGAUUCAUUCACUUUUGUGGAUCAUUCUACGAGGAACUCAAGAGGAAUUAUCAGAGACCUUGAGGUGCAGAUUGACAAUGCACUAGUUCCAGUUGACUUCCAUGUCCUGGAAACUAAGCAGAACAAGAAUCAUUCUCUACUACUUGAGAGAGCCUUCAUGGCUACUGUAGGAGCAGUUUGCAACAUGCAGACUAAUCAUCUGUGUCUAACACUGAUAAAUCCUGAUGUAUACAAUGAUCCAGUCAGAAUUGUGAAUCCACAGACGUCCAACACUAGAGUUAACACGGUAUUCAUAGCAGCAUGCCAAUGCAAUUUUGAGGAUGAAUAUGAGACAGAGUAUUCAGGAUCGAUCGAUAGCAGGACUCUACCAUCGAUCGACAUUGUAAUUCGUCCAUCGAUCGACAACCAGUCCAGAGAAUCGACCGACAACAGUCAUGUGAAUAAGAUUUUCGCUUUGCCAGAACGCUGCUAUCCGAGCUUUGCAGUUAGUACCCACCCACAAACAUCGAUUGAUUACCAUCACAGUGACACGAUCAGCAGACAAGGUGACUAUUGUAUUGGCAGUUAGGCAGAUAUGAGCCAUCAUGAGAGCUUUGCAGUAAACACUGCACUACCUGAGAUGCAAUCUGAUGAGUAUGACGAGGACUACCACAAAGAGAAGAACAUUGAGUACAUUGGUCUUGCCAUGGAUGAUAGAGGACUUCUCCAUACAUCGCUUGCAUUUGCAAUGUCAACAUCGAUCGACAGCGACAUCAUGCCAUCGAUCGAUGCUCAUCACACACCAGAUUCUGAAUUACAUGCUAAAGAUAAUGCCUAUUAUGGUUAUCUAACUCUGGAUGAAUUUGGUAUUUUCAGGGAUCCAGAAGGCCAAGCACGAGCUAUGGAUGGACACACUCUCAACAUAUCCAAGGAGGACAUAGCUGAAAUUAUUACCAUGAAUGGGUCUAGAAACUUUUUGGACACGCGGACUAGAGUUGAGGAUCCACCAUCGAUUGACAGUCAGUCUGAAUUCAGAAGAGCACUUCAUCAGAACAGGAAAAGGAAACCUCGCUGGGAGUACACAAAGACACCCACACCUACCGUGGCUGACGAAGCCAGUUACAGCAAAGCAGAAAUUGAUGAGAUGGUAGUAGAGAUCUACAGAGCUAUACAGACUUCAGAUGACGUCUACUACCCAUUCGAUAACAGUAUCAGCUGGUUGAACACACACAUAGAUGAGAUGAAGCAAGACAUAGCCAUGAUUCAAAAACCACAUGCAGUCGGCGCACGAAGAUCAAAAUUGAUUGGCGCUAACGCUCAAACAUCGAUCGACGCCAACAUCUAAACAUCGAUCGAUGCUCGACUUGCAUCAUUCAAAGAUAGGCUUCAAUCAUUCACCUACAGGCUUGAUGGUGUCUACUACCCGCUCCGUGACGAUAUUGAUUCAUCGACCACACACAUGAAUGCGUUGCAGCAGGCGAUAGACACUAUUAAGAGACAGCUAGACUUUCAAGCAUAACCGUUACCAUUGAUCGACAGACGGACACGCCCAUUGAUUGACAGACAAACACGCCCAUCGAUCGACAACGACUAUACCAGAUUACGAAGCAAGCUGGUAACCGAAUAGGACUUACAUGAUAUGCUUGAUGAGAUCACUUUCUCUCAAGACUUGCUGAAAGAAGAUGUCUACUUGGAGUAGAAAGACAUCUCAGAAUCUACACAUGCCAGAAUUGGAAUGCAACAGAGCAACAUUGAAAAUCUUCAGCAUAUGAUGAAUGCAAGUGAGGUUGCUAGAGAAAGAUUAAAGAAUCAGUGGACCAGGCGAUAUGAGGCCAUAAGAAGCUUCAUUGGCACUUGGUUUCAGAUGAGCAAAGAUGAAGUGGACACUUGCAUACAACCAAGUGGUCAAUUUGAUCAUUACUAGCCAAAAACAACCUCCAAAGUGAAGCUAAAUGACUAUAACAAAGCGCUGAGUGGGAGGAAACUCACUAUUAGGUAUUUUCUUUAAAGUUUUAGUGUUUACAGUUAUUUACUUUUGUUUUAAAUUAUAUUGCAGGUCAUAAAAAAAUUAAAAAAAAUCGUGAAACCCAAAAAAAGACCCAAGGAGCUGUUACAUGUCAUCGAUCGAUGAGAUCCAGUCGGAAUCGUUCGACAGCACAACACCAGAAACGAUCGAUAGACACUUCCCUGUGUCGAUCGACAUCGGCAUCAUCGAUCAGGUAUAUUGUACUCCUUGUUACACAUUGUCCUUAUGAUAUUUGUUUCAAUCAAACUCCGACCAGAUAUACACUAGGGACAGUGUAAUUUAAGUCUGAGGGGAGGUUUACUAAUGUUAAGUUUACCUAUGAGUUUUAUAAAAAAUUCAAAAAAGUUUUUACUGAGUCAAAAAGGGGACAAUGAACUUUUACAAUUUUUCUUACUUAUCUAACCACUCUUUAGCACCAUUCUUAGAUUUAUUGACUACAGAUUGUACUAUAGAUGCCAAAGUGGAUCAUCCUGCCAGUUAUUCACACUUGCUCAUAAUGUUUGAAAGAACCAAGCUGACCUCCAACCUAAUUGAGCUUAACUUGCUUGUCUUGGGGCUUGGUAUACAAUGGAUCAGAAUCCUCCUGCAAGUGUAGAAGGUAUUAGACUUAGUGUCCCUAGUUUUCCUUCCACCUCUCUUUGGCAUCCAUUUAUAUUUACAAAAAGAUUGAAAUGAUUUCUUGCGGUGUAGAGGGGUAGGAGUGUCUCUUGCGAUCCAAUUAUUCUACUCUAAUAGAAUGAUCACACAUUUUUUGGGAGCGAGGGGUAGAUACAUUAUCGAUGACUAUACUAUUCUCCUACAACUUUGCCCAGUAAAAAAAUAAAAUAAAAUAAAUCGGAUUUAGAGAAGAGAGAAGAGACAAGAGAGAAGGGGAACCAAAAAAAAUGUUACAUGUAGUUCCAGAUACUUGUUUGAGUUGAUUCCAUGUGUUUAGUGAUCGAUACUCCCAAGGUCAAGCCUACACCUUUGUUAUUUAUAUGAAUGAAAUGAGGUCAGUAGAGGGGUUAGUCAGACAUGAUUAGUUAAGUUGUUGGAUGAAUGGAAUUGGUUACUAAACUAAGAUAUUGCAUAGAGAGUACUUCUGAGUUAUGAUUGAUUUAAUGUAGUUUGCAAUAUUGCCGAGGUGAUGAUAGUAAGUUCUUAAAUUGUGUGAGCCCCUGCUGUUUUCAAACCAUUUCAGAGAGACUGCUUGUUGUUUUGCUUGAGGACAAAAAAAAAGAGUAAGUCUAGGGAUGUUAAUAUACCAUGGAUUUUAUCCAUUUUCAGCCAUGGUAUAUAGGUGUUUUUAAAUAUAUUAUAGUUGUUUUGGAGUCUUUUCAGUAUUUUUCAGGUUUUGGAAGGAUUUGGAUGAAAGUGGUGAUUUUAGUGCAAUUUGGAGAUAAAAUGAUAAAGACCCGUAGCUGACCAUCGACCAGCCUAGCGAUCGAUGAUCGGAGAUGAUAAUUGAUCAACACAUACUUUGUUAUCUCGAUCGACGGUGAAGCGCGCAGAGGUCAGAUUGGUUCCAGUCGACUUUAAGCCCAAGUCCCACAAAAAUUACCAGAUUACCCCUAGCGAGUUUUAACCUAAUAUUUAUGUGUUUUGCCAUUAUUUUAGGCAACACACGCUUUCUUAAAAAAAAAUUUUUUCGCUUUCUUACUUUCAUACAGAAAAAUACUUAAUGGGGGUUAUUGGUUCUGAUAGUUUAGUGGAUUUAUAAAUUUUCCUUAUAUUUAGAAAUCUUCCAUAAAUCUAGUGAUUUUCAAAUCAAAUAAAUAGAUUUGAGAAUUAUUGAUAUGAGUAUUUUAAAAUUAAAUAAAUGAGAAUUGUUAUAAAUCAAUGGAUUUGUAACUAGACCUAAAUAAAACACUACAAGAGAACAUUAUGUUCUCCGACUGCAACUUCUAAAAACAUGGAUUUUCAGAACUAACUUUUCACGGCAUCUCCUCAGAUAUUUCAGAUCAAACUAUUUUUUCACCAUGUUAUCAGAAGUUUGAUCAGAUCAAAAGUAAAAAUUUCAGACAAAACAGAUUUACUUGUCAUCUUUUUAGAAAUCUCAUCGGAGUAUUCUCGGAACUUAUCGACGACUUCAACUUCUCCACCAUUCAUCAUCUUUCUUGCCUCUUUUUCAUUUUGCUAAGCAUCAAAAGCUGGUCGCAGACAAUUGGUGGGGAUACGUUCAUAUGGAAUACAUCUCUCGUUACAUCUAUUUUUCAUUAUCUUAUGCAUUAUACAAUCUGGUUGUAUGGACAUGUGCUUAGUGCAUGUUUUUAACAUGAGCAAAAAACAAUGUAUAAAAUUUGAAGUAAUGCAUCAACUGAUGUUUGUUGGGACACAAAACUAUAAAGAAUGAAAAAAAAAACAAUAUAAAACAAAUCCAACCAAAAUAACAAGGUUAAACCCAAUAUUUGAUCCUUUGUAUUUUACUCUUAAAAAUAGUUACAAAUCCAAUCAAAUCCAGUUUCAAAUUAAAUCCAUACACAAAUAUUUAUUAUUGAAUAACGCAUGAUUCUAAAAUUUAUUUUAAAAUCAUAAAACCAAUAACUAUGGAUUUGAAUGUGAAUUUUAAAAUAAUAAAACCAAUAACACUACAUUUAGUUUGGAUUUACUUCAGAGAAACUACUUGUUGUUUUGCUUGAGGACAAGAAAAAUAGUAAGUCUAGGAUGUUAAUAUACCAUGGAUUUUACCCAUUUUCAGCCAUGAUAUGUAGGUGUUUUUAAAUAUAUUAUAGUUGUUUUGGAGUCUUUUCAGUAUGUUUUAAGGUUUUGGAGGAAAAUGGUGAUUUUAGUGCAUUUUGGAGAUAAAAUGAUAAAGACCCGUAGCUGACAUGACCAGCCAAGCGAUCGAUGAUCAGAGAUGAUAAUUGAUCAACACAUACUCUGUGUUGUCGAUCGACGGUGAAGCGCGCAGAUGUCAGAUUGGUUCCAGUCUACUUUAAGCCCAAGUCCCACAAGAAUUACCAGAUUACUCCUAGCGAGUUUUAACCUAAUAUUUAUGUGUUUUGCCAUUGUUUUAGGCAACACACGCUUUCUUACUUUCAUACAGAAAAAUACUUAGAGUCUUUGGUUUGGAGAGAAGAUCCAAGAAUUCCUUCAGAGAUUUGUGAUUAGAACUCCAGUUUUCUACUCUAUUCUAUUGAUUCAGUUUUCAUAUCUUUUUUUUUGAUGAAUUGCUUAGCGAUGUAUGAGUUCUAGAAUAGAUUGUCUAAAAAAUACAGAAGUUGAUCGACUAUUCUUAUUGUUUGAGUUCUAGAAUAUCCAUUAUAUGCUUAUUAUCUAUAUCUCUAUAAUCUUAAUUGUUCACAACCCUGUUAUUUACAUUUAAAACAAGUUUGCCUACCUUAAGCACAUAACUAGUUGAUCUAUUGUGUGCCUUAGCUCCCCGUGAAUUUUAUCCCUAAGUACUGCAACUCGACCUCUUAUUUGAGAGAGUACAAAUCACUAAUUGGGUUAUUUGAGUGAUAUCAAAAAGCCCACUUAUGAUUUUUUUUAGAAUCGGCCCAAAGUCACCAUGACGGUUUAUCGAGUAUUCGCGAAAGAAGAUAAAUGUCAAGUUCGAACAUAAAUGUCAAGUUUCAAGGGAUAAUCAUGAAGAUCGAGAAAAAAAGAAUAUUUCCGCGAGGAGAUAAACUCGAAUCAAGGGCAGAAAAGGAAGGACAGCCGACCUUGGAGGCAUAUAUAAGGGUAGCCAAGGCAAGAAGCAGAGACACAAUUCUAUUUAUUCUUAGAGUUUUCUGCACUUAGAAAUUUUAGGCAUUAUUCUCGACAUGUCUUGUUUCUAUGACUGGCACUCGAUUACUAGAAUAACUCACACAUGCAGUUCGAUCUCUUGUUCCAAUCUUUCAAUUUAACUACUUUCUGCUUGAUCCUUGAAAGGGGUACGUAGGCAGCCUUUCAUAAGGUUCAGUCUGAAAAUAAAUAAAACCUUUUUGGUAUUUUUUUUGUUGUGAUCAAGCUGCGACGCAACUAGGUUUAAUGUUUUUGGUGGCUAGAGUUAGAGAAUUCGCUGACAGCUCUUGCCAAAUCUUUUAUAAUCUUUUGUAAUAAUUGCAACGCUCUUACGCUGAUUCGAAAUAAAGAUCUACUUUCUCUAUAAAUUUGUUUUGUUAUCUUUUCAUAUUUUUCGCAUUUAUUUUGUCACUUGUCGUUGGCUCUCGCAGAGAAACAGGGACCUUAGAGAAAGUUAGGGUUUCCUGGCUUUCCUCCAAUUACGGAAAUUGACGGUGUGAAUUUCGGUUCCCACACUAGUUUGCUAUUCUAUAACACAAUCAAUGAAGGAUCCUAAUUAAAUCUCCCUAUGUUAUCAAUAAUUCAUCAAAACCCUAAAUCUAACAAGNNNNNNNNNNNNNNNNNNNNNNNNNNNNNNNNNNNNNNNNNNNNNNNNNNNNNNNNNNNNNNNNNNNNNNNNNNNNNNNNNNNNNNNNNNNNNNNNNNNNAUCUUCAUAAUGUAACAUUACCACUUUAUAAAAAAAAAGAAAAAAAAAACAUAAAUAUAACUAUUUGACUAUUUGUCCAAGUUCUUCUAUUAAACAUAGCCGUUUUACAUUAAAAAUGGAAAAAUACGUAAAUAUUUAAACAUCUAUCUUAAAAUAUAAAAUAUAGACAUUAACUAAAUAUAAAGUAUAAGAAAGAGAAAUACUCAAUAUGUAAAAAAAUAAAUAAUAAGUAAAUAUUAUAAAUAUACGAAUUAUAUAUACAAUAAUAAGUAAAUGCACAAUUUUUAAGAAAAUGGAAAGAGUACAUUAAAUAUUAAACAUCUAUUUUAAAAUGUAAAAUAUAGAUAUUAAGUAAAUAGAAAGUAUAAGAAAAAGAAAUACACAACUUAAAAACAAUGGAAAAAGUAUAUUAAAAUUUAAACAUCUAUCUUAAAAUGUAAAAUAUAGAUAUUAUGCAAAUAGAAAGUAUAAGAAAAGGAAAUACACAAUUUAAAAAAAUGGAAAAAGUACAUUGGUAUUUAAACAUCUAUCUUAAAAUGUAAAUCAAUCUUAAAAUAUAAAAUUAUUAGUAAAUAGAAAGUAUAAGAAAUAGAAAUACACAAUAUAAAGAAAAAUAAAUAAUAAGUAAAUAUAUAAUAUAAUCCCGAAAGAUGACACGUGACAUAAAAUAUAGUUUUACAUUUUAAUAUUACUUAUUUUCGAAAAUUAUAAAAAAUAUGUAAACAUACAGCAUAAAAAAUGGAAAAACUACAUUAAACAUAUGUAAGAUUACUAUUUUUCACUUCAAAAAAAAAGACGGUCUAUCUCCAUAAUGUAACAUUACCGUUUUAUAAAAAAAACAAAAAACAUUAUAUAUAAUUUCGAAAAUAAUAAAUAUAUGUAAAACAUACAACAUAAAAAUGGAAAUACUACAUUAAACAUAUGUAAGAUUAACAUUUUACAUUUUUAAUUUAAGAAAAUAAUAUGUAAACAUACAACAUAAAAAAUGGAAACACUACAUUAAACAUAUGUAAGAUUACAAUUUUUCACUAAACAAAAAAGACGGCUUAUCUCCAUAAUGUAACAUUACCAUUUUGUAAAAAACAAAUUAUAUAUAAUUUCGAAAAUAAUAAAUAAUAUGUAAACAUGCAACAUAAAAAAUGGAAAUACUACAUUAAACAUAUGUAAAAUUACCAUUUUACAUUUAAAAAUAACAAUAAUAUGUAAACAUACAAUAUAAAAAAAUGGAAAAAGUACAUUAAACAUAUGUAAGAUUACCAUUGUUCACUAAAAAAACGGUUUAUCUUCAUAAUGUAACAUUACCAUUUUAUAAAAAAAAAAAAAAAACAUAAAUAUAACUAUUUGACUAUUUGUCCAAGUUCUUCUAUUAAACAUUGCCGUUUUACAUUAAAAAUGGAAAAAUACGUAAAGAUUUAAACAUCUAUCUUAAAAUAUAAAAUAUAGACAUUAACUCAAUAUAAAGUAUAAGAAAGAGAAAUACUCAAUAUAUAAAAAAUAAAUAAUAAGUAAAUAUUCUAAAUAUAUAAAUAUAAGAAUUAUAUAUACAAUAAUAAGUAAAUGCACAAUUUUUAAAAAAUGGAAAGAGUACAUUAAAUAUUAAACAUCUAUCUUAAAAUGUAAAAUAUAGAUAUUAAAUAAAUAGAAAAUAUAAGAAAAAGAAAUACACAACUUAAAAACAAUGGAAAAAGUAUAUUAAGAUUUAAACAUCUAUCUUAAAAUGUAAAAUAUAGAUAUUACGCAAAUAGAAAGUAUAAGAAAAGGAAAUACACAAUUUAAAAAAAUGGAAAAAGUACAUUAAUAUUUAAACAUCUAUCUUAAAAUGUAAAUCAAUGUUAAAAUAUAAAAUUAUUAGUAAAUAGAAAGUAUAAGAAAUAGAAAUACACAAUAUAAAGAAAAAUAAAUAAUAAGUAAAUAUAUAAUAUAAUCUCGAAAGAUGACACGUGGCAUAAAAUAUAGUUUUACAUUUUAAUUUUAUUAUUUUCGAAAAUUAUAAAAAAUAUGUAAACAUACAGCAUAAAAAAAUGGAAAAACUACAUUAAACAUAUGUAAGAUUACUAUUUUUAACUUUAAAAAAAAAAGACGGCUUAUCUCCAUAAUAUAACAUUACCGUUUUAUAAAAAAACAAAAAACAUUAUAUAUAAUUUCGAAAAUAAUAAAUAUAUGUAAAACAUACAACAUAAAAAUAGAAAUACUACAUUAAACAUAUGUAAGAUUACCAUUUUACAUUUUUAUUUUAAGAAAAUAAUAUGUAAACAUACAACGUAAAAAAUGGAAAAACUACAUUAAACAUAUGUAAGAUUACCAUUUUUCACUAAAAAAAAAGACGGCUUAUCUCCAUAAUGUAACAUAACUAUUUUGUAAAAAACAAAUUAUAUAUAAUUUCUAAAAUAAUAAAUAAUAUGUAAACAUACAACAUAAAAAAUGGAAAUACUACAUUAAACAUAUGCAAAAUUACCAUUUUACAUUUAAAAAUAACAAUAAUAUGUAAACAUACAACAUAAAAAUGGAAAAACUACAUUAAACAUAUGUAAGAUUACCAUUGUUCACUAAAAAAAACGGGUUAUCUUCAUAAUGUAAAAUUACCAUUUUAUAAAAAAAAAAGAAAAAAAAACAUAAAUAUAACUAUUUGACUAUUUGUCCAAGUUCUUCUAUUAAACAUUGCCGUUUUACAUUAAAAAUGGAAAAAUACGUAAAGAUUUAAACAUCUAUCUUAAAAUAUAAAAUAUAGACAUUAACUCAAUAUAAAGUAUAAGAAAUGUAAAGAUUUAAACAUAUAUCUUAAAAUAUAAAAUAUAGACAUUAACUAAAUAUAAAGUAUAAGAAAGAGAAAUACUAAAUAUAUAGAAAAAUAAACAAUAAGUAAAUAUUAUAAAUAUAUAAAUAUACGAAUUAUAUAUACAAUAAUAAGUAAAUGCACAAUUUUUAAGAAAUGGAAAUAGUACAUUAAAUAUUAAACAUCUAUCUUAAAAUUAAAAUAUAGAUAUUAAGUAAGUAUAAAGUAUAAGAAAAUGAAAUACUCAAUUUUAAAAAAAUGGAAAAAGUACAUUAGUAUUUAAACAUCUAUCUUAAAAUGUAAAUAAAUCUUAAAAUAUAAAAUUAUUAGUAAAUAGAAAGUAUAAGAAAUAGAAAUACACAAUAUAAAGAAAAAUAAAUAAUAAGUAAAUAUAUAAUAUAAUCCCGAAAGAUGACACGUGGCAUAAAAUAUAGUUUUACAUUUUAAUUUUAUUAUUUUCGAAAAUUAUAAAAAAUAUGUAAACAUACAGCAUAAAAAAAUGGAAAAACUACAUUAAACAUAUGUAAGAUUACUAUUUUUAACUUUAAAAAAAAAAGACGGCUUAUCUCCAUAAUGUAACAUUACCGUUUUAUAAAAAAAAAACAAAAAACAUUAUAUAUAAUUUCGAAAAUAAUAAAUAUAUGUAAAACAUACAACAUAAAAAUGGAAAUACUACAUUGAACAUAUGUAAGAUUACUAUUUUACAUUUAAAAAUAACAAUAAUAUGUAAACAUACAACAUAAAAAAAUGGAAAAUUUACAUUAAACAUAUGUAAGAUUACCAUUGUUCACUAAAAAACGGUUUAUCUUCAUAAUGUAACAUUACCACUUUAUAAAAAAAAAGAAAAAAAAAACAUAAAUAUAACUAUUUGACUAUUUGUCCAAGUUCUUCUAUUAAACAUUGCCGUUUUACAUUAAAAAUGGAAAAAUAUGUAAAGAUUUAAACAUAUAUCUUAAAAUAUAAAAUAUAGACAUUAACUAAAUAUAAAGUAUAAGAAAGAGAAAUACUAAAUAUAUAGAAAAAUAAACAAUAAGUAAAUAUUAUAAAUAUAUAAAUAUACGAAUUAUAUAUACAAUAAUAAGUAAAUGCACAAUUUUUAAGAAAUGGAAAUAGUACAUUAAAUAUUAAACAUCUAUCUUAAAAUUAAAAUAUAGAUAUUAAGUAAGUAUAAAGUAUAAGAAAAUGAAAUACUCAAUUUUAAAAAAAUGGAAAAAGUACAUUAGUAUUUAAACAUCUAUCUUAAAAUGUAAAUAAAUCUUAAAAUAUAAAAUUAUUAGUAAAUAGAAAGUAUAAGAAAUAGAAAUACACAAUAUAAAGAAAAGUAAAUAAUAAGUAAAUAUAUAAUAUAAGUAAAUACCAAAUUUUAAAAAUGGGAAAUUACAUUAAGAUUAAAUAUAUUAUGCUUUAAAAUAACUUAAAUUAAAUAAUAAUAAUAUUAUGCUUAAAAUAUAAUUUUAGAGAGUUUUCAAAUAUAGUUUACAGAACAUUAUAGGUGAUGAAUUUAAUUUAUUAAAUUCGUUUAUUACUUAAAACUAAGUUUUUUUAAAAACAUACUGAGUUAUAAAUAUCAAUGAUGGAUUGGUGAGUAUAACAUGAAGACAAAAAAUAUAAAUAUCUGAUUUCAAGAUAAGAAAUUCAGCUUUUAUUUAGAUACUCAAUAUAUAAUAUCUUAAUUUUUUUUUUUUUUAAAUAUACAUAAUUUAUAUAUAUAUAUUAAUCUUCCAAACUUAAACUAUUAUAUUAUAUAUGAAUAAUGUUUUUAAAUAAAAAUAAUUUCUGAUUUAAAAUAAAAAUAAAAACAUAAAAAUGGUUAUUUUCAAAUAAUGGAUGUAAUUUACAUUAUACUAUCAUUUAACAAGUAUUAGAUACGUUUUGAUAUAUCAUUAUUUUCUAUUUCCAGAAAAUAAUAAAUUAUUAAACAUCAAUAUCAUCUAAGUUAAGUAUACGAACAACACAAAUUCAAACAUCACAAAAAAUAUUUACAUAACCAUUAUAAUACAAUAAUUUAAUCAAAAAAUACAAUUAAAAAAAUAUUAAAAAGAAUAGUUAUAUACUUAAUAUUUGAAAAUAAAAGAUAUUUUUGCUAAAAUUGUACUUACCUGGCCAAGGAGAUCGACCAUCUUUUUACGGAUCGAUCGAAUGUUGAGCAUGUAGUCGAUCCGAAAAUACACUGCAGUUUAAUAAAAUCUCUAAAACAUUUAUUCCAACACUCAAAAGAUAGUUUUGCUAAAUAUGAUAACUAGAUAGCCAAUAAAAUUACAAAAAAAUAUUUAAAUAGUAAAAAAUAUGUUAAUUUAACGUGUUAAAAUUUAAAAAUAAAUUUUAAUUAUGACAUGCAUUUAACAUUUAUAUAAAUACAUAUCAUAGCCUAAAUAUAAAUAAUUUAACAACUUAAAUUAGAAAAAAUAAAAAUCCCGGGCGUAGCCCGGGUUAAUCCCUAGUGAUUUUAUACAAUAAUGUUUGCAAACUAAAUAAACUAAGAUUAAGAACAAUAUAUUUAGUGCAUUCAUGAGAUCGUUAAAUAAAAUUAGACAUAGUUUAGUGCAUAUGAUUAGCACCAACACUAACCUAACAACCUCUUGUUCCCCAUUUUCUCUCAUUUUCCUAAUUUAUACAGUCCACCCCACUAAUCAUCUUGAAAAAGCAUAAUUAUUCUGCUAUGCACAAAACAAAACAAAAUUUAUUUUCUACACAAUGAAAAUCCUUAAUGGGCUUAUUUGCUAAAUAACCAAAAUAAAAAUGGAAAUUAGAUUUGUAGAAAGAAGGUGGAGAGAGAUAGGAAGAGAAAGUAGGAGAGAGAGAGGAUGGUUUUGGGUAGUUAGUGAAUUUUUGUUUUUUUUCUUGGUUAGUAGGUCUAAUUUCUCAUUAAAUUAUGGGCCAUACAUCACCGAAUCGAACCUGUCAGGCUCUUAUAACAAGCCCAUUUAAUAAGCCCACAAAUAAACUAUUCUUCCAUAUUGCAGAAACAUUUUUUAGAUGUAAAAUUUUAAGAUGAGACAACGACAACGACAGAACAGAAUGCACAUAAACACAUAGUAACACCACCAUUCAAUAGAUAAACAACAACACCCCCAUGAAAAUUGCCAAAACCAAACAAAGAAACUCAUGUUUUGUAUGAUAAUGCUCUUGUCCCUUUCCAAAUGAUAUGAAACUCCCGAUUUAAGACCCCAAAAAAAAAACAAUGAUAAUGCUUAUACCACCACUUUUUCUUCGCAGACGCAAAUGCCAUGUUGCUCUCCUUUCUCCUCACACUCAUCUCUCCUGUUACAGUCACAUCAACAUCAAGAUUUAAUCCUAAAUCAAUAGCCAAGAAGACAGUCACACCGACAUGAAAACAAUCUCAAAAGUACAACAGACCACUUACUUUCAAAUGAUUAUGGAGUUGUAAGCGCUGCAGAGCUGAAGCAAAGCUGCCUGGUUUGCUUUUUCGAGAUUCUCACCAAUUAACUGAGGGUAUCUACCAGGAGAAGCAGCAGAAAGCCUGGCCAAAGAAGCAACCACGAACUGCUUCGGAUCUCUAAUGUCUGGAAGAGGAUCCGCUUCUCUUCUCCCAGCAUUGUGAAGACUCACAAACGCAGCUGUGUAUCCAACAUUCUCCAAGACGUCUGGCAUUUCAGGUUCUUCAACGGCUCUUUCCUGCUCAGGCCUUGAAACAAGCGUCACUAUACUGUCCAGCAUAGCUCCCCAGAUCUUAGAAGCUGCUGGAUGAAGAAGGUCUGGAGUCUCACAUAUGAGUCUCGUUGCGGCAACUGCAGCUAGCUUUACCUCGACACUUCCCAUGAUCAGCUUAACGUUUGGAAUCCAGAAUUGCUGCACGAUGGUGGUGAAAAUGUUGGGCUGAACAGUAUUCAUAGUGGCGACAAGAUGAGCAUGUCCGUGCUUCACCAAAAAGAGGGACAUGAAUACCACUAGCGAUUUCUGGAACUUAAUAGUCUUCUUGUUCUGAAGACGUGUGAACAGAGCAUUCCAUACGCCCGUCAUGUAUGGAGCAAUGGCACCGUAGUCGAGAUACUCGAUCACAGUAUUGAGCACAUAAAACCCUUGCUCAUCUGUGCUAGGAGCUGCAACCAGUUUAUCAAAUAUUCCCAGCACUUCACUCAACCGAUUCUCUUGAGUGACCUCAUGAGGUGCUUUCUGCAGGAAAGCCUGGAGCAAACGCACAAGGGCUGGAACAUUGCCGCUUCUCUUCCAAGACUCAGGCGACAGGAGCAGCAAGAAGAUCUGCAUGUAGUUCGGCGAGAGAGGCGGUCUGUUCAGCUCAACAAGCUGAGCUAGCAGCUGAAACGCGUAAGGCAAGAACUCUGCGAUAUCAUUGGCCAAAAUCAUCUGCAGGCUUGGGAAGAGACUCGUUUCAAAUGCAGAUAUAAGAGAAAUAUCACGUUCACAGGCCCUGCGAACAAGUACAGCCACAGACUCAAAGAUGUAGUGAUUAAACGUAGGAUUCUUCGGGUUUUUGCAAACUUCACUAAGAACAGAGGUCAAGCCACCGAUGCAAGGUCCAGCAACCUCACUACUGAUUUCAGCAACACCGAGGACCCGCAUUAUACACUUCAUAAUAUAUUGAUUCUCCUCAGAUUCAGGGAACUUCAGUGCAUCAAACAGAUUCGUCAUCAACUGCAGCAAAAACGGACUUAUAUCACCAGCGACAUACCUGCUCCUUCCACCUUCCUCCUUUACUAGCAAGAGCUUCUCUAUGCAGCUAGCAGCAUAUGAGUGCACCACGUUCGACUCUGCUUUAAGGAACCGGACCAGCUCCGGGAACAACUGCAUUGCAAAGGGCUUUGGUAGAUGACUGCGAAACAUCGUUAAGAACUUCAAAGACCCUGCCUUCAGCAUUGGAAAGCUGUUGACGUCGUGGCUUUGCAACUCGGGGAGAAUAAUGCUUGCAAAGAAGCUUUGAACAUCAAUAAGAUCUGUGGAUACAGACGCACCCCCUGCCUUCUUCGUAGCCAGCGAGACGACCAAGUAAAUUGCACAGUCCUUGUCUUUCCAUUGUACAGCCGGAUUAGAUGAAAAAGAGCUCAAAAGCUUCUGUAUCUCAUGAGAAACCACUUCUGUCACCUGUGCUUUGUAGUUUGUGGCAAGUCCUUUAAGCAGUUCACAAGCGAUCCUCCUUCUAGUGUCCACAUCGCUUCCCUCCAUGUCCCUCCGGAUAAACUCAAUAUAGUUCAUCUCAAAAAGCUCUUCAUCUUCAUCCCUCAAAGAAACAUUAGGAAUCACAAUGCUCUGGCAGAUUUCCUUAAUCACAUUCUCGCCUGCAAACAAAGCAUGGUGCGCACUCGUGCUCACAGUGGUCAAAAACUUGAUUGCCGUAGUAGCUAGCUGAUCCCUACUAGGAGACUUCGACACAUCCCUUAGCAACGUCCACACGGCUGAUGCAAAACCCUCCAAAAACUUUUGGAACUCUUCUUCGUACUUCUCCAUGUACAAGUUAAUGUUCUCACAAACAGCCGCGCGGAGAUCAUCCACAAGCGUCAAACCAUCUUCUGUGCUCUCCAAGGCGGGGUAGUUCGAGGACAAACACUUCUUAAACACUCCCAUCCACUUCUCCAUAUUAUCCUCGAAGAACUCAGGCAAGUCCUGAAAGUUCAGCGAGAAAAAUAUCCUGCAGCAAAGCUUCUGAGACUCAAACAAAGGCUUAAGGUUCGCAGCCGAGCUCACAGCGGCAUCAAUCAACGAAUCAGUUUUAACGAAUAUCUCUUGCAACGGAGGAGCGAAAAUCUCAAGGCAAUACUUAAUAUCAAGAAACAGCUCAUCGGUUCUAUACUGAUGCCUAAAGUUCUUGAAAAUCGAAUUCGCAGUCCCGAGAAUACCGUUAACGGCCGCGUAGUCCCCGGCGAGAGCAGCCUUCUGGAGGCUGGAGACGAGCUCCGGGAGCAACGCAGGCCAGUUUCUCGGGAAAUCGUGCUUACCGAUGACGGCUAGGGCUUCGCUGAGCUGGCUCUGGAUCCUCGGGGAAGAGGAGAGCAUGAGGGAGACGAUGAGCGUCUUGAUCUGCUCCUUCUCCGAAUCCAUAAUCGGAGCGACGCCGGAGUCUGCGGAAGGGAGCCACCGCGAGCGGAGGUGGUUCUUGAAGUUGACGGCGGCGGCGUGGCGAGUCUGCUCCUCGACGGAAGGCUCCGCUACGAGACGGAGCACGGCUAAACCGUAGUUUGGUAGAUCGGCGGCUUCGGAGAGAAAUCUCUCGGCGGCGCGGCGAGGCUCGGGGAUCGGGGAGAGUGUGUGGAGGAAGCACUGCGAGAGGUUCUGGAGAGUCUCCGGAUUCCACUCCAUUGUUCGAUAGAGUUUAAUCGAUCGAUCGCGAAAGAGACGGCGAAGAGAGAGGAGUAGCUAGGGUUUCUGAUUUCAGAGGGAAACAGAAUGAUUUUUAUUUUUAAAGAGAUGACAUGACGGUGGAGAAAAGGUUCGAUGAGCUCGUCGGGUUGUACCCGAGAGACAGAUACGAUUGGGCCUUUGUUCAAUUUUUAAGCCCAUGACUUAAAUGGGCCUAACUUGGAUUCCUCGCGAGCAUUACGACUAUGGUUUCUGAGCAAGAAUCUCUGUCGGUGAGACUUUCUCGUUUCCCGAGUUAGUAUUGAUUGUUUCUUUAAUUAAAUCAGCAAGUAGAAAAACGUGUUGUAUUAGCGUAUUACGUGACGUAUGUGAAAAUUUGUGCAUGGAAUAGAACUAACUGAUUAAUGUAAAUAAGAUAAUAAAGGGACGUAUACUUCGUCGAACAGGGCGUAAAGCCGUCAACGUCCGUGGCGCUGGUCCAAAACAUAACACGUUCUUUGGUCUUCUACAUUUAAAGUAGGGUGUGACUGGUAACCAUCAAGGAACAUUAGGAAUGAUUAGGAAAAGAAUGAAUAGGAAUAAAAUUUUGGGAACGAUGAGGAACAAGGGUUCCUUAUCAAAAUUAACAAGGAACAAAUUUGCAUUAUAAUUCUCUACAAAAAAAGGAAUGGAAAGGAAUGAAGAGGUAUAUUCCUCGCGAAUGGUAACAUUUUUGAGGAACAUUAAGGAAUGCAGUGUUCCACUUCGUUCCCUUGGUUACCAUUCAAACCCGUAGUAUUGCUAUUUGCUUAACAAAAAGAGAGUUUUUUGGUCAAAUAAAUAAUAUACGAAUACUAGUAUUUUACCAGUAAAGUAAGGGUAAUUUUAUCAAAUAGCUUUUUUUAAGUUUUGUCACAAAAAUAACAUUUAAUAAGGAAAAUGACUAAAAUAACUUUUUUUUUAUUUUGAAAAUUUAAUAUUUAUUUUUUUAUUUAAAAAAAUUGAAAUCAUAUCCUCAAAACUAUAUAUAUUAACUCUAAACCUAAGUCUAUAUUAAUUAAUCCUAUGGUAUAAAUGUAUUUCUACUUUUUAAUAUAAAAAAAUUUGAUCAUUUUUUUCAUUGAAAAAUAUUUUUGUGAUAAAAACUUAAAAGGUGAUAUCUUAGAAAAUUUCCUGUAAAAUAAAUAAUACUUCUAGUAAUUAACUUUGAUGGCGUUUUUUUGUUUGUUUGUGCUGCUUGAUUCCAGUGGUUUUAGUGGUGUUUGAAUCCAGAAGGUAAUAAAUAACAAACUCCACACGAGCACGAAUAGAAUUUUGUAGCAGAAUAAUUAACAAAAGAGAAGAUAGUAUAGUAAUGAUAAGAAGAAGCAUGGCAUCUGAUGAUCAGUUUGGUUUCUCAUACUUUUUUAGUUAAGUACAGUACUUAAGCUUGCAUUUCUUACACGUGGGACGUGCUAUAUUACGAAUGAUGCUCACUAAAGUGACACGUGACGCAUGAUGUAUUUGUCGUAAUUUGAAAAUAAAGUUAAAAUGUCGAUUUCAUGGCUCCACCAUUGAAUCACGAAAAACGCGUGAUGGAUAGAAAAAAAUGGAGUUGCGUAAGCCAAUUGAUUCUUUUUUAUUGAUUACUAGUAGUACCUUUGCUCCAAUCGCCUAUCGAACUUUUAUCCGUAACUUCUUACUGUCUUUUAAAAUUUUUUUAAACGCAUAUCAUUAUUAUCUGUCAUACAUAACAGUUUAACAGAUUGCUAUAAUCACUUGUUUUGUUGAAAAAAAAAAAGAAUGUGAGACAUGAGAAGUAAUUGUCUGUAAUAAAGACCACCGUAGUCACGAGUGUCUCCACAUAACCCCACAUUUCUCCUCUUCGUUCUCUACCAUACGUUAGUAGGCUCUAUCCUCUUACUGCUUAUCCAUCAUGCUUACUUUGUUUUAUUCCAUCAAAAAUAUAAAACCUUAUCAUCUAUAUUGUCAUAUUGAGUUCACAUUUGUUUUGGUAACUAGUCUUAAGAAGCAAGAACAUGUUACCAGGCCAAAAUUAUUCUCUUAAAAGUGUAGAAAAUAGGAUUAGACGAAUCUACGUAUGCACGUAUUUUUUAGGGUAAUACUCGAUUAAAUAUGAGGGUUUUUUUUUUUUUGCUCUAUCAAAAGAUAAAAGAAUUUAUAAGUUGGUUCGACUUCCACAUUACUCAAAGAGAACCAACCAUGGCGUUAUCAUAAUAAAUUAAUAACCUACAAAAAGGGUCAACUUUAACAUGUCACAAUACAUCAUGUACAUUUAUAUUUGAGCUUCUGUAUUAUGUAAUUCGAUCGCUGAAAGCAUUUUACAAAGACACGAUAUAAAAACAUAUAGCUUUUUAAUUGUUAUAAUUUAAUUUUCUUACUGCAACCUAAAUGAUGCUCUACUAAUGAAACAAAAAAAGCAAAAAUAAUCGAUUUAUAAGAAAAUGAUACGAUGAAAACGAAUAAGCGUCAUCAUAUGUUUUUACAUUGUUAUUUUUGUAUUAAACAAAAUGGUGCUGCAUGUAUUUUAUACUAUUAUAUUUAUACUACUAUAUCUCCUACGAUUGGUUUUUACUCUUUUCAACAAUUCUGUCAUAUAAUCCAUAAACCCUUCUCGUUAAAUAAAAACUAUCAUUUUAUGUCACUGAUAGAAUCCAUCAAGUGAUCUUGCCCAAUCAUAUAUGAUUAAAUUUUCAAAAUUACUAUCAUGAACGAUAUAUAUAUUGUUACUGAUAAUAUUAUAUCCCAAUGCUAAUUAAUGUGUUUGGCUUUACUUUGCAUGUUUUCAGAUUUCAAAUUCGCUUUUGGUACUGUGAUAUAUAUUAGUAGUUAUCGUUGAUAAGUUUCUCCACAUGUCACAAGACUCCCGUGUAACUAAAUUUAUUGAAGAUAACUCUUUGUAAACUAAUAUUAUUGGUAUAGCAAAAGAUCAUGACCACUUUGUAUAUGAUACAAAGAUGUUAAAUUCAUCCCGGGUGAGUCAAGAUUCCUUCCACACGGGAAUAAAGUUGAUGUAUAAAAUAUUGCAACAUCUUAACGAUGUUAGUAAAUGCUACUCCUAUAAAUAUGUUUUUGGUUAUAACUCGAUAUAAACUUAAGCAAUUAGUACUUUAAAUCCAUAUACAGAUAAUCAUGUAAUAAAUACAUACUAUAUUUUAAUUAUUUGAAUCUAAGAGGAGCAAAACAAUAAGCAUUUCCAACCCAAGACCUUAUUUUAAGAAGAGUAAAACUUCAAAAUGAGGAUUUUUAAGUUGAUUACUCCAACCAUAAAUCAUCAAAAAAAUCUUUAGAAAUUUAUUUAUUUGUAUUAUAAUCUUUGAUAUUAACAAAAGUUACUAAUAAAUAAUUAUAAAGACCAAAAAAAAUAUAAGAUAGUUUUGAGGUUGUGAAUAGUUAAACUUUAAAUUUAAAAUUUCACUAUUCACAACUUUAAAAUUUGAAGAUUUAAGGUUAAGUUAGAAUGAUACAAAACUUCGAUUUGAGAUUGGGUUGGACAUGCUCUAAGAAAACUACAACAACACGACGAUAAGAAAAAGUUAGGUUAAAGUCAUCACAUGUGGUCUCACGGAGCGAGACUCCUUUUGUUGAACGUUACAGUUAGGCAUGAGAUUCACGCAAAUCUUAUGCGACAAAUAAUUUCUCUUCAAAUUUUUAAAAUUAAAAGGAAAACGUAAUUUUAUUAAAGACAUGUAUUAAAUUAGAGGACUUUUAGCGAGAAUAAUAAUAACAGAUAGUCCAAUUAAAUGGACCCACGUUAAUAACGAUGUCUGAAAUAAAUAACCACCCCACCAGAUAAUUCAAACGAUAUUUUUUUCUUUUGGUUUUUAUGCAUGUGAUUGCUUUUUAUUGGUUGAGACAAAAUAAUAUAAACAAUUAUAUUCAGUACUAUUUGGUACACAAAUCUAUUUAAAAAUCUUUCGACCAUGUGAUGAUGAUCUAUACUUUUUUCUAUUUUCCUAAUUAUUAUUAUUAUAUUUUAUUUUAUUUUUUUGGAUGUGAUCUAUACAAAUAUUUGAAUCUCACGUAGUUACAUAUACACGUGUUUAAAUUCACACAUUAAUCAGGUUUGUAGCUCUAAACAUUAGGAAACUCAACCAUGGUUAAGCUCAUAACCCAACUCUAAAACGUUGCAUAAGUAAACCACGGUUGGUUUUUUUAAAAGAGUCUUCUUCUUCAUACAAAACUUACCCAACUCCCCUCUCUCUCUUUCUUCUUCUCCAAACUCUUGUUUUCAUAUACCUCUUGGUUCUGCUGAAGUUUUGUUUGAGAUGAAUACGAGUGAUGUAGUAGGAUGGGAAGAUGAAGAUACUAGAUCCAUGGUUAGCGCCGUGUUAGGAAACUCAGCUUCUGAGUUUCUUACAGCAAACUCAAACUCAAAUCAGAAUCUGUUUCUCGUCAUGGGAACCGACGAUGGUCUCAACGAGAAGCUCUCUCGUCUCGUGGACUGUCCAAACUCCGAGACUUUCAGCUGGAACUACGCCGUGUUCUGGCAGCAGACCGUGUCUAGAUCCGGACAACAAGUCUUGGCUUGGGGAGACGGGUGUUGCCGCGAGCCCAAGGAAGAGGAAUCAACCGUUUGUUAUAACCUAGAGGAAGAGAUGAGGUGGCAGUACAUGAGGAAGAGAGUGCUUCAGAAGCUACACAGGAUGUUCGGUGGAUCCGAUGAAGAUGACUACGCUUUGAGCUUAGAGAACGUUACGGCUACUGAGAUGUUCUUCUUGGCUUCGAUGUAUUUCUUCUUUAACCACGGAGAAGGUGGUCCGGGAAGGUGCUUUGCUUCGGGGAGACACGUGUGGUUGUCGGAUGCGGUUGGCUCUGAUUAUUGUUUUAGGUCUUUUAUGGUUAAAUCAGCUGGGAUAAGGACUGUUGUUAUGGUUCCUACUGAUGCUGGUGUUCUUGAGCUUGGUUCGGUUUGGUCUUUGCCUGAGAAUGUAGAGUUGGUUAGGUCUGUUCAAGCUUUGUUCAUGAGGAGAGUUAAGCCACCAAACAUGAGCGGAGGAAAGAUUCACAAGCUUUUCGGACAAGAACUGAAUAGCUCGGACAAGGUAGCUCAUCAAGUGCAAGAGAAUGUGAAUGUGGUUGUUGUAGAGGAUACUAAUCACAAGGUGAUGAAGACUUCUUGUAAUGAGAAAAGACCAGCGAGUUUAUUACCGGGAGGAGUGUCUGUUGUGGAGGAGAAGAGACCGAGGAAGCGAGGGAGGAAGCCUGCUAACGGGAGAGAAGAGGCGUUGAACCAUGUGGAAGCUGAGAGGCAGAGACGUGAGAAGCUUAACCAGAGAUUCUACGCGUUACGAGCUGUUGUUCCAAACAUAUCUAAAAUGGACAAAGCUUCUUUACUUGGAGACGCCAUCUCUUACAUCAAAGAGCUUCAAGAGAGAGUAAAGAUCAUUGAAGCUGAAGGAGUAAUGACCAUUGGGACAGAAGAAAGUCAAGAAGUUGUUGACAUUCAAGCUGGGGAAGAGGAGGUUGUUGUGAGAGUAGUCUCACCGUUGGAGUCACAUCCAGCAUCAAGAAUCAUACAAGCAAUGAGAAACUCAGAGGUUGUUAGUGUUGUGGAGUCUAAGCUUUCAUUAGCUGAAGAGACACUGUUUCACACUUUUGUAGUAAAGAAUAACAACGGAUCGGAUCCUUUGACGAAAGAGAAGCUUAUAGCAGCGGCUUACCCGCAAACCGGCUUGACGCAGCAGCUAUUACUACCAUCUUCUACUUCACAGGUCUCUGGUGAUAUCUAGCUUUCAAGCUUCUUAUCUUGUUCAGUAUAGGAAGACUUUGAGGUUCAACUUAGAAAUAGAUAAAUCCUUUUUUUUUUCUCUUACUUAGAGUAAAAGUAAUCAAAUUAUAGUAUAUUUGCUAACCUUAUCAUCUGUUAGACUGAAAGUAAUACAGUCUUCGAGUGACAGUCUAUUUAAUAAGUUAAGUCGCAUAUUUGUAUCUUGAGAAUAUAAUUUUUUUUCAAAUCAAAUAAAUAAAUAUGAAAGAUAUUUUGACAUUUUCCUUCAUUUGUGAAUCAUGUCAGUGUAAUAUCUCUAAUGUUUUGUCUAUCUGAAAGCAUAUGUUUGUCCAAUAUCUUAUUAAUGUAUGCAUGAAGCAUAUGAUAUAUUGGUCCUUAAGAUUCUUACCAGUUUCAGAACACCUCACUAGGUAAGUAACUGUGAAUUGGUUUAGAUUGCUAAUGACAAAGUAAAUCAUAUAACUCACACAUGAUUAUUCAUAUCUUAGAUAAUAUUUCACUCAUUAAUAAACCAAUCAUAUAUAAGUAGACCUAUACUUCAUCUUUUUCCAUAUUCCAUGUUAAUUACUUCACCUCAUUUUAAAGUUUGGGCUUCUAGUAAAAUUAUAAAAAGCCCAUCCUCAAAAAGCCCAACUCGGCUUCACUGCUUCUUCUCCUCUCCUCCAUUUCUCAUUUGCUUAGUUUUGUUUUUUCUCCGAUCAGAUCCAAAAAGUAACUUCCCUUCCUUCGCCGCGAUGUCUCUCCGUCGUUCCAUCCUCGGCCUCCACCGCCAAACCCACAACCUCUCUCUCUCAAAGUCUUCACCUUUCCCAAUCACCAACAUCUCCUCCCCUUCCGCCGCCGUGAUCGGAAGNNNNNNNNNNNNNNNNNNNNNNNNNNNNNNNNNCGUGAAGAGAAAUCUCCUCGACCCCAUUUUCACUAACCCAGAAACUCAAACCGGACUCCGUUAAUCUCGUCGCCGAUCGUUCUCUCGGGCAAUCUCAGCUGGCUCGUCUCCCGGCUUCUCGAGGCUACAGCAACGCGUCUCUCGUACGGAAGAUCCCUGUUCUGUUCCACAUCAACGCGGGGAUGGAGGAGGUUUUGGCGGAUUACGUUCACCAAGAGCUGACCAGGAAUCUGAUGGUGAUCUCUCUGGGGUUGUUCCAGAUCAUCGUUAUCAAAGACGUCGUCGUGUUUCUUUUCUUCUGAGCAAAAGGAAUCAUCUUUUGGGGUCUCUCUCUAUCACCUGUUUAAUGAAAUAGUGAGCUAAAGUCUCUUCCUUUUUGUUUUAUCUUUCUUCUGUUAUGAAUAAGAACAUUGAUGCUUGUGUUGCUUCAGUUUCUCUUGUUUUCAAAGUUUGAUUCAGUUCGUAUAAGGCUUAAGUGGAAUUAAUAACUUUCCUGGAUUGUAGACAAGAGUAUGUCUCCUGAGGUGGAGUAAUAAGACUCUCUCUAUUUAAGCUUUGAAUUGAAUAAAAGAGAAGUUUUCUCAGCUCUCUUCUUUAUAAUUUUCAUCAAAUUUUGUUAUUCCAUACUCAACAAGUCAUCAGAAGAGAGAAAUCAAACAUAGAGAUCAUUCCUAGGCUGUACGGUUCAUACCACAAUUUAACCAUUGCUUCCACUUGAAAUGUAUUGAUGUGUGGCUCAAGAUUCAUGAUUCAUGCCCUAUUUGUCGAGACUCGCGCGCAUAAAGAUAGAAACCAUGGGUUAUAUUUAUAUGGCGACUAGUGUUUGGUUCAUUCAUGCUUUAGUUGUUGGAUUCUGUUAAAACGUUACAAUGAAUGCCCACUUUUUUAAUUUGUCUAUAUACAUGUGCGAGUGUUUACUAUGGAGUGAAGAUUGUUGUACUUGAUUAUAAGACUAGUGACUGAUAACUUUUAAAAAAAAUGUUUAUACCCAAGCAGAGUGCAUAUAGGAAUCGGUAUCAUUCUGCCCCCACUAUGUUCAUUCCACAACACUUUGUAAAAAACAUUUCUAAGAUCAAACACCCCAUCUAGAAGGAUUAUCACUCUCUGUUUCUUUUGAUAUUUUGAUCGUUGUUUCUUUGUGUUCAUAUAUUGUGGAUCCACUCUGUUACAGACAAAAUACAUGUGACUACUUUCAAAUCCACUAUGUCAAGUCAACACAUGGUGCCCCUUGUGUAAUGACAACGGAUCUUAAAGAACAACAGAGGCUAUGGCUAUUGAACAAAAGUUACACGAACUCAUAAAAGACAUGAUAAUUAACUCAACAUCGCAAACAAACAAAAAAAAAAGAGUCCACAAAAUAUCUUCAAAGUUUUGAUUAUGUUUAUGGAAGAAACUACAUAGAACAUAUUAUGACGAAAAUUAAUUAAAUCUCGGAGAUUAGCAGUUAACAACCUUAAACGUGGAAAAUGAUCGUCAUCAUCAAUCAAUAUCAUCAAACAUCUUCACCUUCAUCAAUCGUCCAUCCCAGCUGACGAGGUCUCCUCUGAUCCACCACCGCAGCCGUCUCCGCCGGCAAAUCGGCCAGCGUCGCGAGAGAAGAAGACGAAGAAAGCGACUGCAGAUUCGAAGAAGACGACGACGAAGCCGCCGGGAAGUUCAUAGCCAUGAUGUUGCCCUCGCUCCACGACCUCCGGAUCGGGAACGAGAUGCUCUCCGAGCUCCCGUGGCGUCGGCAAGGCUUCCGCCGCUGGUUUUGACUCUUCUUGGCGCCGUCGUGAAGCGCGCAGUCGCAGUUUUUGUGGUAGGGACGCCGCUCGAUGGCGGAGUCGAGGCCGGAGAUGCAGCCUUCGAAGAUGCAGCGGAAUAUUCCGUCGGCGGCGGACAUCGUUUGGUCUUCGAGAUCCAGGCGGAGAUAAACAAAGAAAGGAUCCGAGUCUUUCGCGGAACUCAGAUUUAACUUUUAACUUAUAUAAAUAAAGACAGGUUUGUUUGUUUGUUUGUUUGUGUGUAAUAAGUUAGUUAUCACGUGUACGUGUUUAUUAAAUGGGCCCAAUAAAAGCAGCGCUAACAACGUGUCUGGGCACUAUAUAAAUAUCGCGUCUUUAUUGGGCCCAUCUCAACCUACGCGUGAUUCAUUUACUUUAACUAAAUUAAAUUAAUCGACGGCGCAAUGGUUGCCAGCCUGGCACUAGUUAAACGAUGUCGUUUCAAGCCAAUCCCUAGAAAACGACGCUGUUUAAGGUGUUCGGCUGAAACGACGACGUUUAGUUAACAACAAUUGGGCCUCACAUGUAAAUAAAGGAAACAGUAAGGCUCAACCGUCAAAGAAAUAAUCUGAUAAAUCAAAACGAUGACGUUUCGGGUCCCCGCGCAUAUAAAUAACCGAUUUUUAAAUAACUCGUUGAGAGGGCUUCUUGGAGAGACAGAGAGAUCAAGAACGAUUCAGUUUGUUGAUCGAUCAUCUCUAAGAAUCAUCGUUCAGGGUUUGAGGUUUAGGGAUGGCGAGGAGAGUGGAGGGAAGGAACAGGUUCAGAGACUUCUUUCUAUGCUCGCUCCCAGUUGCAUUCAUCAUGGCGUUUCUCUACGUUCUCGUUUCCUCAUCCAUCUUCGGCUUCUACGCUCCUCACAUCCAUUCACCCUUUGGUUCGUUCUCUCUUGAUCGUUUCUUUAUAUUAUCUGACGUUAAUGGCACGAGUGUUUGCAUUCAUCAUAUACUCUAUUAAACGUUUCAGAUAAUAAAGAGAGUAACUUCAUCGACAAGGUAACGUUAUAUCAUCACAUUUGUACUUAAUCGGUUAUGAAAGAUUUGGAAUGAGAUCAUCAUGUGUUGGAUGCUUCGUUUCAGAAUCUUGACUGGAGAGAAAAGGCAGCUCUUGAAUCUUUUCCAUCUCUUUUCUCAAAAGAGGCAAGUGUCUCUUUUUGUGUUUGGAGUUUCUUGUGUUUGCUAAAAAAGUACUUACUAUAAGUGUUUGAUACAGAUGCUUGAUGCUCUCAAUGGUACUGCUACUACAUCUGAUUCGGAUACUGUUAGCAUAGAUGCAAUCAGGAAGAAAGAACCUUCUUUGUCAUGGAGAGUAGAGGACGAAGUUGAGAGUUCUGAGGUAGAUAUGAUAACUUCUCUAUGUUUUUAACCUGUAAGAAGUUACUGACCAUGCUUGUUGUAUCCUCACCAGGAUCAAAUGGUUAAUAAUAUUGGUCUUGGGACUUGGACUAGAGAAGGAGGAGGCCAAGUGUUGAACGAUACACCAGAGAAGUUGUAUCAAAGGGUAACUUUCUUUUAACACCCUUUCAAGCUUGCGUGACACGGUUGCUUUAAUCUGAUCCCUUGUGUUGUUGGAAGAGGAUGAGACAGGAGAGAAGAGAGAAACGUGCAAAAGAUCUAAUGAACAAAGAUAAUCAACAAGCCCUUGAGAAAGCAGCCAUCCAGCGUUCAAGGUCCAUCGACUUCGUAGCACCAGGAAACUACAGCAUCUGGAGAAACGAGUAUCACAAGAGCAAGAACUUUGAAGAUCUGUUGCGUCUCAUGCAAGACCAAAUCAUCAUGGUGCGAGUUUACACUAGCCUUGCUAAAAUGACUAACAAUCUCGCCUUGCACAAAGAGCUUGAAGCAAAACUAGCUAAGAUGGAGGAAGAACAAGAGGAAUCAAUUAAUAUUGAUCAACAACAAAGGUAAUAUAAUGUCAAAUUCUUAAUCAAACUCUUAUUGCUUUAGAAAAUUCACUAUAUGCUAUGUCACACUUUGACAUCUCCAUAUAUAGAUAAAUAUAAGUCUUAAUCAUCAUGGACUUUUCUAUUGCAUAGCUCGGUAGGAAAGUGAUAACUUGCUACUCAAGUUACUUCAAGUUUAAUCCAACAUUGACUCAUGAGAGCUGUAAUACUAAUACUGUUCUUAAGAUGGUAAUCUUUUUUUGUUUAUUGUAGCAGAGUUCUUGAUACCAUCAGAGACAUGGGACAGCUUUUAGCUAGAGCAAGGAAGCAGCUAUAUGAUUGCAACCUGGUGACAAACAAGCUGAGAGCAAUGCUACAAACAGCUGAAGAAGAACUCGUCUCCACACAAACUCAUACUACUUUCUUGAACCAGCUAGCUUCCAAAUCAAUCCCACACGCUAUCCACUGCUUGACCAUGACCUUGAACCUAGAGUACUCUCUCCUCCCUGCACCAAUGAGACACUUCCCAAGAAUGGAGAACUUGGAGAAUCCAGAUCUCUAUCACUACGCUCUCUUCUCUGAUAAUGUUUUGGCUGCAUCGGUUGUUGUCAACUCCACAGUCACCAACGCAGACGAUCCUUCCCUCCACGUGUUCCACAUCGUGACUGAUAAACUCAACUUCGGAGCGAUGAGCAUGUGGUUUCUCCUAAACCCUCCUAAAGAAGCAACGGUCCAUGUCCAACGGUUCGAAGAUUUCUCUUGGCUCAACUCGUCUUACUCACCAGUACUGAGACAGCUUGAGUCAGAAGCCAUGAAGAAGUUUUACUUCAAGACGGAGAGGUCAGAGUCUGCUGAAUCAGGAGCAGAGAAUCUCAAGUACCGGUACCCUAAGUACCUCUCCAUGCUCAACCACCUGAGGUUCUACAUCCCCAAGAUCUUCCCAAAGCUGGAUAAGAUCCUGUUUCUUGACGAUGACGUGGUUGUUCAGAAGGACUUAGCUCCCUUGUGGUCGGUUGAUCUCAAAGGGAAAGUGAAUGGUGCAGUAGAGACCUGUGGUGUCACUUUCCAUCGCUUAAAGGCUUACUUAAACUUCAGUGAUCAACACGUUUCAGAGAAGUUUGAUCCGGAGUACUGCGGAUGGGCUUAUGGGAUGAACAUCUUCGACCUCAAAGAGUGGAGAAAGCACAACAUCACGGAGACGUAUCACUUUUGGCAGAACCUGGUUAGUUUUUUUCUUCUUGACUUAUCAUUCAUCUCCAAGUGUGUAUGUAGAUUUAAGUUUGAAAUGGUUAUGUUUUGGUUAUUGUAGAAUGAGAACAGGACGCUGUGGAAGCUUGGGACAUUGCCACCGGGGCUCAUAACGUUCUAUAAUCUGACUCUGCCGCUACAGAAGAAAUGGCACUUGCUUGGAUUGGGUUAUAACAGAGAGAUCGAUGUAAAGAAGAUUGAGAGAUCAGCUGUGAUACAUUUCAAUGGACACUCGAAGCCAUGGACAGAGCUAGGGAUCAGCAAGUAUCAGCCUUACUGGACAAAGUACACCAAUCUUGAGCAUCCUUACAUCUCUAGCUGCAGGCUGUUGGAGUGAAGAAGAGAAGAGGAUCUCGUUAUGUACAUAAAUAACACAUGCAUGUGAAUGAUAUCUGCAACUAUAAAAUGUAAAUAGGAUAUGAAUACUCCAUAUGAGUUGAUUGUUGCCUUCUUCUUAUAGUAUUAGUAUCUCUCAUCCAGUUUCAUGUAAAACAACUUUAACAUAAAAAAAAAAGGAAUCUCUCUCACUUCUUCUUCUAUAUGAACGUGAAGGUGGUGUUUUAAUUGAUGGCCUUGAACAUUGACAAACUCACUAAGCGUCACAUGCACAUGCAAAACAAGUAAGACAAGGAUGGAACAAGUUGUACCUUAGUGCCCAUCUCUUGUCUUAACUCCUAAAGUUGUGGCCUCAGAAGCUUCAAGAACAUGAUAGAUAAAAGCACAAAUUGCAAAAGAAGCAUAUCUUAAUCUAUGAUAACAAACAAAAAAACUAAAACGUAUAUUGAGUUUGUAAGUAGCCUUAAGUUGCUUCAAAAGGAAAAGGAACUGUAACACCAUGAAUGAUCACAGUUGUCAGAACUAUUGAAGCCCACCUGCAGAUAAAAUUUCAGAAACUUAUCACGGAUAAAUACGUAGAAUGAGUUAAAAGAAACUGUGUAAAUAUAAACAUACCAGUUCAAGCCAGUAAAGGAAUGAACACCAUCUAUGUUUAUGAGCUCUACUUCUGCCUAAACAUAGAGCUAAUAAGCUUGUUACUUUACGAAUCAUUGUAUCAGAACUUGGUGAAGCAUAAAAUACUAGUCACUUAACAAGAACAAAUAAAAAAAAAACAAUUUAAUCUCGUUAACCUUGUCCCUUAACUUACCUGAUUAAAAACUAUUAAAAAAAUCUGAGAGACACAAGUACACACAGGUUUUUGAAAUCACCACACACACUUGAGCUGACUGACAGUCGGAAGCUACCCAAAACGCACCGUUUCAGCGAUAAAAACCUGUGAAAGAUAGUGUCUCUAUACUUAAAACUUAAAAAAUGGUAACUACUUUACGAAUAUGGCGGAAAGCAGAGUUACGAAUUUGUGAAAGAUCAUUUCGUUUGAGUGCUUGUCACUCUAGUUAGUUGAAAAAAAUCUGGUAAAAGCUCAUUACUCUUCUCCUUUGUCUCGUAGUGUUACUUUCUUACUUUUGCUUUUGCUGUUCCAAGCAUAACCACCUCGCCGUUGCUUUUACUUCUUUUAGCUCUAGAAAUGGCGUCUGCUGCUCUUCGUAGCUUUUCAAGGAGAAAGCUUUCACCAAAAUGGUUCUGCAAGACCUCCUCCUCCACAAUUCCCUCUCUUGUUCUUCAUCAUGAUGUCAAAACUUAUAAUACUAAGCCCACCACUUUCUCGGAUUCAAGUAUUCUUCUUUCUCGUAGUUUUCACAGGCAAGUGUUCUUCUUUGAAGACAGAAAGAAAAUGACUUUUGCUCAACCAUUAGGUGCUUCUGGAGUGUUUCUAUGUAGACACAUCUCCUCUUCAUCCGGCAAACCUGCAGAAGAAUCGAGCAUAACGCUUGAUGCCUUAGGAGAUAUUGUUGAGGGACUUGUCCCUGAGAAGUCUGUGGAAGCAGCUAUUGAUGGAGCAUUUGAAAACUUAUAUUUCCCUCUGAACUGCGUGCAGUAUGUGAUUAAUGGAAUCCAUGACCUUACCGGCUUCAACUGGUACCCAUUUUAUUUAAAUUUGGUUGGUCUUUUAUGUUCUGUUACUGUUUGAUGAUUUUUCUUACAGUUGUUUGGUCACUACUCUUGUAAUAUAAAGGUGGAUCAUGUCGAUUGUUCUUACGGCCUUUCUGGUUAAUGGACUCAUGUCUCCACUCUCUCUGCGGAUUGAGAGACAAGUUUGGGAGUUAAAAGUUAUUUUCUUUUCUUUUCUUGUGUGCUUUCUCAUUGACUUCAUUUUUGCUUUUGAACCUUUAAUUAUGUUUUCUUUUUGUAAAUUAGAUUUUGCGUAUGUGCAUUCAGAAGGUGAGGAGAGUGAUGCAGACAUGUGAUCCUAAAGGUCUGGCUAAACACAAAAAAUGGGAAGCAGAGUGUACACAAAAGUGAGUUUCCUUACACAAUGCUUUAUAUGUUAAUUCUGAAAAUGUCUUAAAUCUCCGGUUUAAAAGCUAACAUUGGAUGGAUGUCUCUCUUUGACUUUCUCUAUCUUGUGGUUCAAUUAUUUACAUCAGAUUUGGAGAAUGUUACAAGUCUUACCGACGGCUAAGACUUAUUGAUCCAUUCAUCAUCAUCAGCUUCAUCAGUGGGGUAAAAAAAAAAAAGAGAAUGAGUUUAUUUAUAAUGUUCUCACUCUUGCCUACUUACUCACUAUACUUAUCUUCAAAACAGAUUAAUACCAUGGCGAAGAAAAUCCCAGGGUUUACUGAUCUUUUAACUCCAGAGCAUAUGAUCCAGUAACGGCCUCUGAGCAGCAAAGGAUCAUGAUAAGUGUUAUGAGGGAGUUCAUUGACAUGGUGAAGACGAAAGGCAAGAAGUGAAUCUUCUUUUGCUCUCACGGUCUCUCUGCAUUAGUCUUCAAAUAGUUGACUACUGUCUGUAUUCAUCUUACAACUUAUGGUACCUGUUUUUAGUUUCUGAACCUAUCUCUUAGUGAAGACUUUACUUUAAAACAGCAUCCUCUCUAGAUUUCCAUGCAUGGUUCUUGUCUAUGCCAACACUAUAUAUUGGGGCCUUGUUUUGCAAUAUUUGUUUAUUAAAAAAUGGAGCCAUAAAAGCUAAAGAAAAAGAUAAUUGUUAACAAAUUAAAUGGACCAUGUGCAAAUGGUUACACAAUUAUUUGAAAUCACUAUGGAAGCAGUACUUGGCUCCAAGGAUAGACAUUCUUUACUUCUAUAUGCACACAACAUUAGGUUUCAUCCAUAGGAAACUCAGGAUCAGCUGGUUUCUGAGGCAACAAAGAUAGCAUAUGAGGAAGCAUAGAGCUGCGUGCUGCUGCAUUAGCCCUUACAUUCCUCAGAGCAUGAGAAGCAAACCUAGACGCAUAAAUCGCAGCACUUAAGUUAAGUUUGUUGCCUCCUGAAUCAUCGGUGGUCUGAAGAGUGUUUUGUAGUCUUUCUUCUUCUUCACGUAAAGCCCUUGAGAGCUUCCUUCUACAGUAUCUCUUCCAUGCUGCUUGUAUAAAACAUGCUGCCCAUGUCUGCCACUGCACUGAAUAACACCUGGAAAAAUGCCGAAAAAACAAUGAAAGUUAUUUAGGAUAAGAAGGUAACUUGAGACACAAGUUACAAGUUAGUUAGGGUUAAAUAUAUUGCUCAACAAGUUAUCUCUAAUUUGUUAAGCAAGCACUCUUUUCCAAUAGGUAAGUCUUGCCUGUACGUGUGUCGUAGCUGCUUGCUAUGGAGGCGACGGUACUGUGUAGAGAAGAAUUUGAGAUCUUCAGCUGAGAGGACAAAGCCUUCGACUUCUGUCUCAGCUUGAACGGUUCUAGUAGAGAUAGGUAAGUGAGAGGUGUUAGGAUCCAGUGCCCAAGUGAGAAGAUCUCCACAGAAAUCACCAGCUUCCAAAUGAGCAAUAUUGAAGAAUCCGGUUUGGCCACCAUAAGUAGUUGUACUUAUAAGUUUUCCUCUCAUUAUAAACACCAUAUCCUCGACCGGUUCACCUUCACGCACAAUGUAACUGUUCUCCGUGUAAAGAACUGUAUUCAAACGUGCACAAAGUGCGUCUAGUAGCCGAUCAUCCAUGGCUUUAAACCACGGCACCUGAAAACAAAAGAGUUGGCUAAGUUUUAUUACCAAUAUGUAGUGAUACCCGUCACAUAUGUUAAAACCAAUUGACGAUAAGUAGAAUAUUAGUCCAACUCCGUUAUAUUUUACCUAUAUAAAUUCCUAAUAUAGAAACUUAUAACCAGUUAAGGUUUACCUUUUUGAGGAGAUUCAAACAAAGAUGGCGUUUAAUUUCCUUUCUAAGAUCUUUCGGAAGACUAGAGAGAAGAGCUUCUUCCUCAACUCCUCUGGUUUCUUGCCAUUUAUACUGUUCGUAUUCACGUACACGUUUUCUCAGAUCAUCUGGCAACAUACGGUGAGACAUCCAUUGCUCUGCAUCUCUCCUUUUCACCCUCAUUUCCUCAAUUCUUACCGUAGUUGAUUGCAAAUAUUUCUACAAAAUCCACAAAAGAAAAGAAAAACAAUUUUUCAGAAUAUUGAUUCAUUGUUUAAUUGCUUAGAUGUCUCUGCUGGCUCCUUAACGAAAGAGACAAGAGCAAGAAGUGUAAAAUUUUCUCAUGUUAAUCAGACAUGCAUGGUCGGAUAGAUAGUUAAUUUUCGAAACAACCCUAUUUUCCUCCAAAACGUAAUCUAAAUAAAUGGGUUGUCUAACCAAAAAAAAAAUUUGUUUGAUGCUUAGAGAAGAGUUACCUGCAUGUUUCCUAUGAGAAGAGCAAACAAAACUAGUCCAGAGAUACAAAUGAUGAUCGCGAAAAUGAUCUCUCCUUCAAAGUCACUUGUCUUCAAGUUUUGCCCCACAGCACUAUACACAAAGAGAAACAAGAUUUGUAUAUCUAAUGUUGUUAGAACAAAAUGUUCACAUUCUAGUCCACAAUGUAGUCAUUAUAUACUUAUGAAACUCACUAAGAGAGAAACAUAGAUGAGAGUAUAAAUGUUACAAACCUAAGAUUGCGAAGACCCCACCAGAAACAAUAGAAAAACUUUUUAGGGAAGUUCAUUGACUCCACAACUCCAGACUGCAAUGCUUCAGCGAAUAUACCAAAGUUGAAAACCGUCGAGUUUUUUAUCUCCUCUGGGUCCAUCAACGGGCAAGAACCUAUUAGAUACUGGCUAUUGUCUUCCCCACCCGAACAGUAUAAGUUCCCAUGAACACAUCCUUCUAUUUUAGCACAUGUUUCACGCCAACAUCUAUCUUUCCUUUCAAUCGAUAUCAAGUACCAAAAAGAUCCAAAGACAUGGCUAGCUAACAUGUAGAGGAAUAGGUUUAAAGCAGCUCCAGCCCAUGCAGUCUCAGUUACCAAACCGGACGUUCUUGUUACUUCUUUAAAAAGCGGAUAGAUUCGUGCAAUUCUUGGAACAUACUGACAAAAUAUUACCCAUUUCAGUAGCUCUUUUGUUACCAGUGACGCAGGUCGACUCAUCGAUGGAACAACAGCUAGAACAACUACCUAUAAAAGCAAUGAAAGUUUUAGAUUCAACCAACAUCUUGAAGAAGUAAGAUUUGAGAAAGUAGCUGUACCUGAGGAAUAGGGAGAAUAGAAAGAACAUCGAUUAUAAAGUAUGACUUGAGGUAUCUCACAGCGAUUUUUUUAGAGCUCUGAACAAGCUCCCCUCUUCCAAAACCACGAGAAGAAGGAGCAAUGAAGCCAGUAUUAAACUGAAACAACAUGUGAACCAAAUAGAAAGCGUCGAUGAAAGUGCGGAAAACACAAGCCACUGCCUCGAGUUUCUUGUCUAGUUUAAGACAGAAUCUGUCUGGAUCCACCACGGGGAUGAAGAAAAAAAGAGGAUCAAAUGCUAACGCUACAACACAAAGGAGCAAGAAAAUCUUGUUCCAGUUUUGAAGAUAAGAGUCGUUAGGAUUCAUCACUCGUAUUAUCUUUUUCUUGUUCUCAUUCUUCUUUUGAGAAUGAAACGUUAAUGGCUGCUGCUUAAAGGUUCUGAUCUUCUCUGAGCCUUUCUCAAAGCUACGUCUAACUGUUUUUUUAAUAACUGAAGUUACUGAAGGUCUGUUCCAAGAAUCUUCAUUUUCAGUAAACCUGUUACAGAAAAAAAUAAAAUUAAAUCAAGAUUACUACAUAUUAACUCUUAAUUAACAAGACUAACAACAAAUCCAACUGAUACAUACUUUACAAACGUGUUUCUUUUGAGAUUCAUCAUCUCCAUCUACUCUUGUCUUCUUCAAAAGAUUCUCAAACCUGUGAAAAUAAAAAUAAAAAAUAUUAUCCAUUUUUCUUUUAUUAUUACCCCGUUUUGAAACUCCAGUAACUAAUAAAGACCCAGUAAAAUAAACAGAGUAAUUUGACCAAAAGAAAGAAACUUCAAGAUAGAAGCAAGCAAACCUUGAUUUAAGAGGAGGGAUCUAUAGUGUUUAUUCACCAAACUGAUGUGGUUCUUGGAGGAUGAGCUUAAAGAUUAGCCGACAGGAAUAUUAAAAAAAAGGAAGAAGGAGUACAUCUAUUCCUGAAAUGGAAGGAAGUAAAGAGAAGGGGUUGAAGGAUAAUGAUGUUCUAAUUUAGUCGAGGUGAUGAUGAUAUAGUAGUACUAGUUUGAGUUUAUGCAGAGUUAUACAUUGUUUGAAAACAGAGCUGAUGAAGAUCCGAGUCUGGAUGUGGAACACAUAGAAAUGACAGAGGUAUAUAAUAGUAAUAAUUGUAGGAAAAUGAAAAGAUGAGAUGACUUUUGACGAAGACUCAGUCAGUCAACCCCCAAAAACAAAAAUAAAAAAUAACAAAACAAUUCCAAAUUGGUUUUUUCUUGAGACGAAUAAAGGGUAGAGAAAAUUAAUAUCAUAUCUAUAUAUAGUAUGAUCAUUAUUUACGUAGUUAUUGUUUGGAUGUUGUACACACACCAACUCAUCAUUUCUGGACGUACAACACACACUCAUGAGCCAUGAUGAAGAAUGGCUACAGUAGUACUCUCUAAUUCUCUAUUUUCUUUAUUGCAUUCUGUGGAUAUUUUUGUUAUGCAUUUUCAGUCUUGGUCGUGGGAUUAAUUUUAUGAACUUUGUAUCUGAAUUCUUGAAGCCACAAACGUUGAUUAGUUUAGUCUACAUAUAUUCCAAGAAAGAAUCAAUUAUUUUAAAACCUCAGGGUUUGAGGUUUAGUACACUUGAGGAGACUUUUCAAUCUUUUUUUGGGGUAAGUAAGACGUCAUUUUCUCCUCUAAAAAAACAAAACUAGUAAAGAGGAAAGAGAUGAGAUACUCAGUGAUGCGUAGUUGCAUUAUGAACGGUCCACAGGAAAAUGGAGGAAAUUGAUAUAGAUAACUGAGACAUAUUAUACAAUGAUAAUGGUCUCUACAAUGCUUACUCAUUCUCAAAAUAAAAAAAAAAGGUGCAAAUACAACUUAAAAAGCUGACCACUACUAACCAAUUAAUCUUUUAGUCUAAUUUAUUAGCCUUCAACAGAGAUCAUGAAACCCCUAUGAUUCAUUUUUGGAGGUUUUCUAUAAUAUUCUGAAACGCUAGGAACCACCAGUAACACCUUCCUUGCUUGCUUCCAGUUGAUCAGAUUAUCAUGGCUUGAUUAAGACUUGAGAUUACAGUAACUAAGGCUUGUCUUCAUCUGACUGAGGACAUGAAGGCCCUGGGAUCGAAUCCACAAAGAACUCCUCUACACAAUACAGUGGGGGAAACGAACAAGAUUGGUUAGUGAAUGAUCACAUAACAUGAAAGAAACAGAUUCAGAUUUUGAUAUGUUUACCUAUGUCCUCUUGUUCCGGAGAAUCAAGUAAAAUCUCUGAAUCAGAUGGUAGAAAUGGGGAACCAGGAUAGUUUCCUAAGGCUCCUAAAUCUGUAAAUCACAAGAUCUUCAUUAAUCAGACACUAAACAUCAAUGCAGCUACUUGCAUUAACUAUGUUUCUAUAAAAAGAACAUAUACCUCCAAGAUUUGACAAAUCAGCAGUGAGAUCAGAGAGGCUAAAGUUCCAAGGAAUCUGAUCAAAAGGCCUCAGGUUGUCUCUGGAAUUACCAGCUCCUCCAUCUGGUCCAAGCUGCAACCCAACUGAAGUCCCCACAUCAGAUGUGAAAGCAGAAUCAAGAGCUGACGUGUCCAUCCCCAUCCCUGACAUAUCUGAAGCAGCAAAAGGGAAGUGUCCACUUGACGCCACGGAAGCUGGACUCACUGGCAUCUCCGACACUGAUGACAUGCCAUUGUUUGGUGGAAUCAUUGGAGGAGUUGGAUCAGCCGCAGUUGUAUCUAUUACCAUACUACACAACAAGCACCAAACACACAACAAUAAGGAAUCAGAAACAAAGACUUGCUAAGACUAAGUUAAUGUUGGUUCUUACUCAUUCCCUGAGUUCAUCCUCAUUGGUUGGAAGUUCCCAGGUGCAGGGACUCCAUUAACCACGUGGCAGCUUGACAUCCCCAUUGCAUCAAUAUGAGGAUGGCCUGGAACAUGCAUUUGAGGAUGUUGUAGUACUGGGUAUCCCAUUGGCAUGUUGUUAACUGCGCUACAAACCUCUAGUGUUAAAUAACAGUGAAACACAAAUACUCCCUCCUACACUUCGUUUUAACUUUUAAAUUUUGUUUAUCGUUUUACAUUUCCAAUGCAUAUUUUAAACAGUUUUUCCAAAUUUUACUCUUAUUUUUAAUUCACUAAUUAAUAAAACCAAACAAAAAAUUAUAUUAAAUAGGAGUAAAACAGAUCUUAAUUCGUGUGCAACAACCUUAAACGGCUCUCAUUAAGAGAGAGAGAAGGAGUAAUAAAAAGAUGUUUGUGAGUGAUAGAAGUGAGUCAGACUUACCAGGGGCCAUAGGAUGAAUCCCAUUCUGCAUUGGGACCAAUGGAACCUUAGGAUGAACAGGAUACUUCAUGAGGUGAUACUGGUGCUCAAGCAAGUGAUUGAACACAAUUAUCUGCUUCUUCAGUUUCAGUCUGAUGUAAUAAGCUCUGAAAAAAUCUGCAUUCUCUUCUUCCAGUUUCUGCCAUACUAAAGUUGUGAAACCAGGGUCAAUUCUUGCACGGGUCAAGAGGGUCUUCACCACCUCAUCUCUGUUCAUGUACAGCUGAAGACAUCUCUCUAUCAAAUUUUGGACCUACACAAGAAGAAGAUAUCAUGAACAGACACACACACAAGUAUAUAUAUAAGAGAAGGAAGGUGAAGGUGAGCCAAAGUUCAACUUACGAGUUCAAUAUCUUGCCUUGAAACUUUCCUACCGUCAUUACUUGAGGCAGAGACAGAGCCAGAGUCUUGUAUAGGAGCUUCUAAUGACUGGUUGUUCUUCUGUUCGCCUUGGGAGUCAUGUGAAACUUGUGUAGAGGACUGCAUCUCCUGUGUGCUCUGCAAAUCCCAAUAAAACCUUUCUCUUAAUCCAAAGUAUGUUUACCAAUGUUUACCAAAAAAAAAAAAAGUAUGUUUACCAAUGCUGAAGUAGCUAGCUACAACCUUUCUUUACAGUCAACUUUCUUUAUAUGUUGGUCCAACUUCCUAUAUAUGUAAGCAUUGACCUAAUCCUGAGAUUUUAUUACUGUUUAGAGACAUAAAAAUAAUCUUUCAAUUGGGAAACAUCUCAAAAAAAAAAAAAGGAAAGAGCAAAAUAGAGAAAGUUGCAAAACUAUCUCACAGUUUUCAACAGAGAAUACACUAAAGACAAAGAAAACAUUAUAACAAUAAAGAAAAAGAAAGUGGUAGACGAACCUGGCCGUUCUUCAUUAGAGUUGAAUAUAAACUAAUUCAGUAACUAACAAGUAAUCUCCUUAACAAUGUUCCAUCUGGACAAGCAUAUUUCUGAUGUAUGUUUGACCAAAAUACAAAACCUGUAUUGACAUAAACUGUUUAGUUAAAUCUCAUCAUGUAAUAAAAGAAUGAUUAGAAAAAUAAAGCAUCAUGAAAAGGUGAGUUCUUUAAACAUUGUUUAAUAGUAAUCUAAAUGCCACUUAGGCAACGCACACUCAUCCUUAAUUAAAAAUCUAUUCUCCUUAACAAUGUUCACAACAAGCAACAUCUGGGCAAGGAUGUUUCUAAUGGGUUUUGGCAAAAUAAAAACCUGGACUGAUUAUAAACUGUAUAGUUAAUUCGUUAUCUUAUAAAAGAAUGAUUAAAAAACGCAUCUUUGAAACUGCUAAUGAUAAGGAGCAUGGAAAAAAGUGAGUAAUUAAGCAUUGUUUAAUAGGAAUCUAGACACCCACACACUACAGAAUCUUAAGUAAAUAAUAAAAUAAUUCAUACAGUCAAACACAGAUACACCUAACUGGCUUCAAACUACAAGUACACACAAAAACAAAAGGUCUCUUGCUUUUGGAAUCAUCAACUCUAAUAAAGAACGAAACUUUACUAUUCAGACAGCAAAUCGCAAUCUGCAAGUUAGUGUGAAUCUAAACCCUAAUAGAUUGUUACCAAAAGCAUGAGUUUAACGAAUCUAAGAAACCAAACAGAUCUAGUAGAGUUGCUGAUUUUCUCAGCUUUUUGUUUGUUUCUUGUUUUGAUACCUUAAAAAAACAAAGUGUAAAAGAAAAAAACAAAGAAACACGACCAAGAUUAUCCGACAAGAACCAACAAAGUCUUCUCCUCACCUUAAUAUUCAGACCGAACUCAAACCAAAAUGGUAACACUUCCGACAGAGGUUUUAUCGACGAGUUUUUGAGACUGGGAAGAAGUUCUCUCGAAGGAGAUAACGAAAUCUGAACCUGAUUUUAAAGAGGAGUCUGGAGAAGUUCGUUUCAAGCAAAGAUCUGGGCGUGUUUUCUGAGAGGGAGAAGAUAAAAGAAGAAACACCAAAGAGAAAGAGACAGCGAGAGAUUUCGAUUCUACGCCAUUACAGAUAAUAAGCUGAACUCAACAACCCUCAAGGAGAAGAAGGAGGCAAGGGAGCAGUAGAACAAGAAGAGAACCGCGAGAGAGAAAGGGAAAAGAGAAUCUCACCAUAAUUAAUUUCAUUUAUAGUCUUUAUUAGUUACCACUUACGACCCACUAAUUACUACAUAUUGUCUUCUUUCUUUUUUUUACUUUUAACUAAGCUUUAAAUAGUCAGUGAAAAAUAGAAGAAAAAAUUACGGCUUCCAAGGGUAGCUUGGCUCGGCUUCUUCACUGACCAAAAAAAAUGGAAUUAUAAAUUUACUGUUGUAACGAUGCUUAUGAAUUUAUUUUUUUUUUUUUUUUUUUUUUUUUUUGUAAAUUUGCUUAUGAAUUAUAAGAAAACAAAUUUUUGGUUGUAACGGUGAAAAAGUAGCCAAUACUCUUUCACACCAGGCAGUGUGUCUCACAAUACUCGAGAUAGCGUUUUAUAAAAUGAUGCAUCCUGGUUAGUAUUUAUUUUGCUAUAAUGUUUUAAAAUGCAUCUAAUUCCAGUUAAGUUUAAACGGUACAAGAAAUGUAAUAUGUAUAACAGCUAGUGAAAGGUAAUUGCUAAGCUGGUGAGGUGUUGGAUGUUACGAGAUGGCAUGGACCUCCCCACUGUACUAUACUCUCAGUCUCCGGGAAUAGCAUCUCUUUAUUUCUCUGUUUUUAUUGUAUAUCUCUUUAGGACCACUUUUUAUUAUUUUUUGUAAUUUUCUAACAAGAAAAUGUUGAAAAGAAUCAGAAGAAAUAUUAUAUCAUAUCAUACCCAAGAUCUCUUGAUUGCGAGCUUAUGGUAUUAUUUUCUUUCUUUUUUGUUUGUAAAUGAUAUACAGACAUGCAUGUCCACGUUAUGUUAAUUUUUCCUAGUGACUUAUAUAAUUCUGCUUGAAUAGUUGUCUUCACCUAUGUUUGUAUGUCAUUAUACAUAUGCUAUCAUAAAGUAUCCCCUUUUCACUAGUGGGUGUUCUUAUUUGGUAUAAAAUUACUAUUAAGAGAUUUAGUUAUAUUAUAAAUACCAAAGCUUUGGAGAUACUAAAUAUGUGCUUAUGUAUAAAAAAAUACAUGUGCAGGACUUUAGUUUUCAACAUAGAUGUAUUGAGAUAAAUUUCAAAUCUAGAACCUUGUCUAUAUCUUAAUUUUCUCAGUAGUAUUUAACUUUUGAAACGUUUCAAAUUAAUUUGUACUCUUUUGAAGACACUUAUCGCUUGUAACUUGUGACUUUGUAGUUAUCAGCAAGUCGGUAUUGAUUGUUUUUGGCAUUUAUUCAAUAAAAGUUGAAUUAUUAUUUCUAAUAAUUUCGAGCAUUACAACUGACGCCGGCUAAGGAGCCGUCACGAGCCACGCACUUGACCCACGUGAACCCAAUUAAAAACAAUGUAACUAGUUUAACAAAAACGCAUGAAGUUAAUGAAACAGACACAUUCGCUUCACCAAUUACGCUCAGUUCCAUUAAUCCGCUGGACCCACCAAAUAAAAAUUAAGUUUCGUCACGGAAAGUUUUUUUUUUUGCUUAAGGUCAUGAUCCAUUAAUAACACGACACGUGUAAUGCGUUUGCCGGAGAAGUUAACGUCGGAGAAGCUGGCCGCCGCGUGGCAUAUAUAUGCUGACAAACUCGGAAGAGAGCGGUCACUGACACGUGGCAGUAAAGGAGAGGAAGAGCGNNNNNNNNNNNNNNNNNNNNNNNNNNNNNNNNNNNGAAGAGCGUGGAGUGUGCUUGACCAUUUAUCGCCUUGGGAUUUGAGACUUUUUAAAGGGUUAAAUUGGUAAGACAAGUCAACACUUUGAUAAUUUUUUUCCUUUACGUAAACGGAGUCUGUGUUAGUUCUUCUAACCACGUAAACACUUUCUUUAAACCGUCCAAUAAAAAUAAUUAAAGAGUGAUUGAUUGAUACGUGUAUGGUUUAAGCACCUAAAGAUCCUGUUAUAGAGACAUAAAGUAUCUUUUCCAAAACUUGGGAUAUUAGUUAAUAAUAGUAUAAUAUUAUAUACAACAAGUUCACCUUGAUAUAUAUGUCAUCGGACGAUAUGAAUGUAGUGUAUACAAGAAAACUAUAUUAUAGCAGUCUUAUAAUAUCGUAAUGAACUUGUUGCUAACACUGCGAGGUGGUGUUUACAUUAAUUUUACUUCCCCACAUGGAGACCUAUAUAAUAUAAAUUAAAGCUUUAUAUACGAAACAAAAGGAGGGCAUGCAUGGGCAUGAUGGAACCUGAAAAUAAUGGAGUGGAAAGGGAGGAACCGAUCGAGAGGACCUUCUAGCUAAAGUUUUGUCCUUGUCUACAGAGAAUUUACCUUAACAAAGACAACUCAAAUUGAUAGGCAUCCCAUGGACGGACCCAAUAUUAUUACUCUUAUUUUUAAUAUAAAAUCUAAGCAAGGAAACAUGUAAAUGUCUUUAUAUCUUGCACUAUAAUGCAUAAUCCAGUAGAUGUCAGUGUCAUACUCAAUGAGAGACCUCCUUUCACCUAAACACUAAUGGGCUUUUUAGUAUGGGCUCAGCUGCACAGAAGGGUCGAUAGCACUUCUAAACAAACAUAAAGACCCAUGUAUUUAUAAGGCCAACAUAUAACUUCGUUAAGGAAAAAAACAUAUAGCUUGUGACACACAACAUUUACCAUACAGUUUUUUUUUGGGUCAAACCAUAAACAGUUUAACUUGUCAUUUAAAUACGAGGUACAUACACUCAUCAAUGUUUGGCCCAUGUAUUUAUAAGGCCAACAUAUAACUUCGUUAAGGAAAAAACCAUAUGCUUGUGAGUUGUGACACACAACAUUUACCAUAGACAGUUUUUUUUGGGUCAAACCAUAAACAGUUUAACUAUUAAAUACGAGGUACAUACACUCAUCAAUGUUUGGCAUGUUUCGUUUUCGGUUUUCAAGUCAUCUCUAUAAUGUUUUGGAUCAUGCAUUGAAAAAUGACAGAUCGUAGCUAGAGCAGCUAUUCAUCUUUAUAGACACUUCAUCUCUUAUACGCAUUCUGAAAAAAAAACUGAAAACGCAUUUUAUCUCAUAUACUAUUCUUCAAUAGACCUUUUGAUUUUGAUUAGAUAUCAUAUAACCCCACGUGAUCAAUAUUUGUUGUUAGAUACUUGUCUGAUUCAUGCCUUUUUAGAAUCAAAUAUUUAUAUAGAAACUAUAAUGUGCUUCUUUUCUCCGCAUCUCACUCCAUUUGGUCUAAUUCCAUAUGUGACAUAAUAAUAAAGAGAUAAAACCCUUGAAAAUAUAGAAUUAGUCCGAUCUCGAGAUGCGGUUAACGCGCAUAUUUGUAAUCAAUAUUAUGUUCAAUUAAUUAACAAAAAUAAAUACGUUACAGAAUCACAUAGGACCACGCAAAGAACUCACAAGUCACAACCAUUCAGUGCCGUGCCCACUUUUCAUGCCAUCAGACCAAAAGAAUAUAUGAAAAAUACAGAAGAUUUGUUCUCGUGAACUAGCUAUAAUUCUCUUUACUCCCUUUUCCUGUUCUUUUUCCUCUCUUAUUUGAUUAUAAUACUAUUCUUUAGUUUGGUGUUUUGUUCCACCAAACUUUCCUCUUAUAUCAAACUUUCAAAUGGAAUGUCUGAGAAUUUGGUUGGACAAGAAUCCCUAGUGUUAUUAUUAUCAACUAUCAUCAACUAAGUGUUGUUUUAAAUUUUUCAAUUUCAUGCACUAUUUAUAUAAGAAAAUCUUUGUAUUCGCCUAUUUCUUAAUGUAAGUUGUAAAUAUUAAUUCAUUUAAACCCAAGAUUAUUAUAGCAUAUAAGAAUAACAUAUUGGUAGAUGCAUAUUAGUCUUUUCCAAAGUCAAACACAGGGAAGCUCCUUCCUUCAUCCAACUGUCUGUAAAAGACCAAAUUUACAACCGCAAGUCAAAGGUUUAAAGAUGUUUAUUAAAUACACACAAAUAUUUUAAAAAUAUUUAUGGUUGUAUCUGUCGUUCUUCUCUCUGAUGAACGAGGCCGUUGAAGCAACACACAGUGCAAAACUACAGUCUACAGAUUCGUUUUUUCCUACUCAUCGCAUUAAAUUAAUUAUUAAACAGUAUAUUUGAAUAAUUGAGUAUGGUAAUAGUAAUAAAUAAUUAUUCUAGGAAUUAAUCAGACAUGCGCAGUUAUAAAAUAACCUGUCUAGUUUUCAAUUCUUUUCCGAUCCCCUCUCUCUCGCUCUUUCCUUCGAGGAACACAAGAAAGAGCUAUUAAUAACCUCUCUUUGUGUUUGUGUCGAAGACGACAUAUUGUUUGAUCUUUGUUGUUCCGACAAGACGGGAAAAUGGAUAGACGACGUCGGAGACACAGCAAGGCCAAAGCUUCGUGUUCCGAAGGUGAACAUCUUUCUCUCUCUGAUUAUAUCUCUGUCUUUCUUUGGUUCGAGUAUGAUUUUUGAUCGUUAGCAGAAGUAAGUAGCAUCGAAUGGGAAGCUGUGAAGAUGUCGGAGGAAGAAGAAGAUCUCAUUUCUCGGAUGUAUAAACUCGUCGGAGACAGGUAAGCUGUUCGUUUCUAUAUGAAUCUUUUAUUACUUCUUCUAGUAUUAUAUUAUUGGAUCGUAACAUGACUACGUCCAGCCUCAGUGUUGAUUCAGAUUGUUUAGCAAACACACAUUCUUACUUAUAGUCUAUAAUGGAAUUCAAAAUGUUUCCUCGAAUUUGGUUUGGUUUAGUUUGAUUUUGAUAACGGGAAUGUUUGUAAAUAAUUGAGAUUGUCCAUAGUAUUUCGGUUUGGUCCAGAUAUGUUAAACCAGAUUAAAAAGUUUGGUUGUGUAACUUUUGUAAAACUUUUUGAUGGUCUAUAUGUGUAGGUGGGAAUUGAUAGCCGGAAGGAUUCCUGGGCGGACUCCGGAAGAGAUCGAAAGAUAUUGGCUUAUGAAACACGGUGUUGUUUUUGCCAACAAACGAAGAGAAUUUCUUAGAAGAUGAUUUUUGUAUUAAUUAAAAGAUUUGUCAUCUUCUGAAUAUUCGCAUGACAAGGAAAAACUAAAAGCAGAUGUUGUUUUAAUUUACUAGUUUUUAAUGUAUAAUUAAUUUCUAUAUAUAAAAAAAAUUCUUAGGAGCUUCAAUAUUUUUUUUAUCAUCGGUUGACAUCCCUAUAAAUGAGUUUCAACAACAUUUCUGCGUAGGCGAAUUCUUUAAUUGAACCACCCUUCAAAGUUCAAAUUUAUUAUUCGUAUUAUUAUUUGUUAGUGGACAGAAAUUUUGAAUAAGCUAGAAAAUAUGGGCUAGUUUGUAAGCCCAUUACUCUGUCUCAAAGAGGAAACCAUACCUCAGGGCCGAAAUGAAGCCCAUUCCUCACUUGAGAUUUCUUAGACAUGCAUGCCGUUUGAAUAUUUGAUUCACAGCAAUUAUACGUUCUAGGUGUAGCCUCCCUUAACAAAAAGAACAUUAAUUCAGUGGCAUAAGUCGAAUGUAAAAUGCAAAGAUUCCUUUUGAUCAGUCUAAUUUUUGUAUAAACUGGAUUUGUCAAAUGAUUCAAAACUAUAUAAAAAUGUAGUACUUUAUGAUUUUAUUCCGAAAAUUCUCAUACAUCUUAUUACUUUCUACAAGUAGAGUGUGCUUCUAUAUAUUAAAAGAAUCUAUAUAAUUAUGUGACCGUGUAGAUUUAAUGUUGAUUGUUGCCCAUAGCGAUGCUGAAAAACCCGACAACCUUUAAUCUUUAGACAAAUACAAUUAAAGUGUUAAGAUGUUUUCCCACGUGCUUAUCGAAAAAGACUCUUGUGUGUUCACACUUGGCGUGGCUAACACUGCUGAAUUAUAGUGGUUUGUUGGUAUUAUUGGUACUAUUAUUUUAAAUUAACUAAUCCGUGAACUCGGAAUAUAUGAUUUCAGUUUGUCACCUCGGUAGGUAAUCAACAAAUUUGAUCUGUGGAUUUGAUUUGUAAUAAAGUUCCAAUACUCUCCUAUGGGUUUGACCUGUAAUUUUUGAAAUGAUAUAAUUGUUUUUAACAAUUAUUCAUAGUUUCAAGCAAAAAUAAAUAAAAAUUUAUCCAAAGUAGAGCCUUAUCCGUGGUAAAAACCAAAGGAAACAAAAAAAACAAAGGAAGAAAAAAAAUCUACAUAUUUACUUUAUCAAUCACUAAAACUAAAGUUGUUUCAUAACACACUUAAUUGUUUCAUAACACACUUAAAAAAAUCUACAUAUUCUCCAAAGUUGUUUCAUAACACACUUAAACACGUUUUUCAUCAAUCCUAAGAAUAAUUGAAUUAUAAUAUAAAGCAGUGUUUUGGAAAAGAUUAAAAAGUUAAAACAAAAGAUAUAAAAACGAAAACCAUAGAUCUUCCUUUAUCAAACAAGUUCAAGCUGCUCUUAUGUACUGUGUACAUAUGAUAUUUUGAUCGAUGUGAUGUGACCGUGUGGGGUUUAAAAGGGUAGGUUCACGCACCGAUAAGGCAUUUCUUGGAAAUUACCAGGUACUUUACAAAAUUUCACUGAAAUUUCAGUUUUUUUUGUACAUAUUAUCCUUAUCAAAUACCAUUUUUACGUGGAUCUCCGUCUAUUCUGAAUUUCAAAUGUCUCUUGGUUCUUAUCCUCUCUGUUGAUAUGAAAAUAUUGUGUUUGGAAGUUCCGUUUUCUUAAAGAAACCAUCACUAAAAUUACACAUUUAAUUUGGCGCAUUUUGUGUGGUUUACCAAAUUGUCGCACGCAGCAUAAUUAACAGAUAUAAAUUUGGUUUGAGGUCUUCCAACUUUGGAUCAUCAUUUCUGUAUGAGUGCCAGUCCUUGACCAUGACGACAUAUCGAUACUCGAAUCGUUCCCUUUCAAGUUGAAGAUAAGUUAAUUUAAUGAACAUUGAUUUAUGGCUAAAAUACUUUAAAACUUGAAACUAUCUUCUAAUCAAUUACAUAAAUAUGAAUCAAUCAUAUAAUAUGGAUGUUAAGUAAGCUACAACCUGGUGGAUGAAUUCAUUAAAAAGGUAAUAUUAAACGAACACAAGCAUAUAUAUAAUUAGGAACCACUGCAUUGAGACUAAGUUUAAAUCAUGUCUUGUUGUUUAUACUCGUUGGAUGUUAUCAAUCCCAAGUAACAACAACGCACAGCUUGAAUACUUUAAACCACUAGUCAUAUAGUCCAUUUGUGUUUGAUUAGUUAAUUUAUAAUUAUGAAUAAAGUAAUUAGUCCAUGUGCACGUAUAUGUGUCUCUCCACGAUCAGUUUACUUAAAUGAUAUGAGAUUAUUAUCUAUUCGUUUGAUCAGACGCGUAGGAAAAAGAGUAGACGCGUUGCAUAGAUUAAACAUCCAGUUGAGAUAUAAAUGUAAUCUUAUUUAGUGAGCCUCUAUCUACCAGCAGCCUCUAAUCGCUAACUUUCAAAAAAAAUCAUUAGUUUACUUUUGACUCAGAAAGCUACAAGGUUGAUAACCGAGAACCAUAGAAUAUACAGUAAUGUGGUUAUAUUAAUAGUUUCUACUAUUCAUCGUAUACACAUAUUAUACUGUACGAUGAACAUGCCAAAUGCAUAAAGCCAUACUCAAUAAAGUACCUAGCAUUUAAUUUUGUUUUGUAUCAUUUUGUUCAGUUAUAUGUAUUCAAAUGGUAGAGAUUGGUGAUUUUUAUAACACAUGGAGGAUGGAUCAUUAAGAACAAAAAGCAAUACGUCGCUGUUAAUCGUGUGAAAGGGAGAGAGGCGCAUUAGUAUAUUCUCUAAUCCACACCUGCAUGGUUAGAUUUGAUCCAUACUCCAUAGAUUCUUGAAUUUACUUUUAGGGUAAUAUAGUCUUGAUCUUUGACCCACCUACAAAAACAUAAUUAGCUUUUGGCUAAAAAGAAGCAUAAGUAGUUACAUAAUCAACAUCAUACGUACAAUGUCUUAUAUUAUUUUAAUUAAUCGAAUAACUAGAAUGUAAAACUAUGACUAUAAGUGAUCAAAUUGGCAUGACAUCACCCGUCCUUACGUCACUGGAAACCAAAAUUAAUAAAUUGAACCGGAUAUGUAACGCGGUAAGACUUAUUGAAGAUGAUUUUUUUUGGCAUCACUUUGAAGAUGAUUGUUUAUUGGUUUACUCGGCUGAAAAUUUAUAGCCACCAAAUAAUAACCAAAUAAUUGAAUUAUAAAAAAUUCAUUUUAAAAGAAAUAUAAUAAAAUUAGAUAAACUGAUUGAGUGAGACUUCAUCAAACAUGGGUUCUAUUGUGAUCAGGGAGAGAUAGUUGACACUUUAUUGAUUACAUAUUAUAUGUAACUCAUAUGAUCAAUAGUUGAAUCCAAAAAGAUUAUAAAUCUAAAAUUUACACUUAUAUAUGUUAAGUUUAGUAAGUAGAUGAUUUGUGUUUCUAAAUAAAAAUCAGAUACUAGUAACCACAACUUCAUCCGUUCUUUUUCUUUAUUAGCAUUUUGAGAAUAAUUGUAGUUACCUUUUUUGUCAAUUUCUCUACAAGAUCCUUUGUCUUUUCCACACAGCUUCUUCUUGACUAAGCUUAAAAACAAAAAAAGAAAAAAAAAUAACAAAAAGAAAACAAAACUUAUUGGGCAAGCAGAAGGACAUAAAGCCACAUCACAAUAGAUUCUUAUCAUCAUUCGUUUAUAUAAAUACACACGAAACUCACAUAUCAUCAAACUCACUCAAAAAAAGAAAUACAGAGAAUUCAAAAAAAAAGAAAAGAUUCUUGUAAGUGAAAGCAAAGAUGGUGAUGGAAGAGAAACUCGUGAUCAACGAACUGGAACAAGGGAGAGAGCUUGCCCAACGUUUGAUGAGCAAUCUCAAAGACACUUCCUCAAUCGAAUCCAGCAAGAACUUGAUCUCUGAGAUCCUCAGUAUCUACCAGAAUGCUAUUUCCAUGUUAGACGACAAGAAGGUCCUUAAACGUAGCCGUGAGAUCGAUGACAAAGAUUCUAAGAACGUGAUAAAAAAGAGGUAAACAGAGUUCAAAAGAGUUAUUUUUUUUGUAUGUGUUUGUGUUUCAAAAUUGAGAUCUCAUGUGUGUUUUUCUUUGUGAUUUGCAGGCAAGUGUUUGAGAAGAAGACAGAGAAAGUUAGUUUCUUUGUCGGAGCAGGACAAGAAAAGGGUUCCAUUGAUGAUGGUUAUUGCUGGAGAAAGUACGGUCAAAAAGAGAUUCAUGGAUCCAUUAAUCCAAGGUAUUAUUAUUAAUCAUCAAUUAUCAUCAUUUAAUUUUAAAUUUUUUUGUCUUAGCAAAAAAAUUUAAUUUAUUUUUUUGUAUUUUCUUGAAGAUUUGCUAACGUAUUCUGUUUUCUGUUAUUUACAGAGGAUAUUUCAGAUGCACGCAUCGAUUCACACAGAACUGUUUAGCAGUGAAGCAAGUCCAAAAAUCAGACAGAGAUCCUUCCAUUUUCGAAGUGAAGUAUGUCGGGAGCCACACUUGUAACAACACUACUACGUCCCCAAAGACACCGAACUUCUCUAUUUCGAUGUUCCAACAAGAAGACAUCAAACCGACGAAAACAGAGGAAGCGAUGAUGAGUCUUGAAGAUCUCGAGAGCACUAAGAACAUUUUCAGAACGUUUUCUUUCUCCAACUACGAGAUUGAGAAUGCUGGUGGUGGUUGGAAAGGCAACCUCUUCCAUGAGGAUCAGCUGUCUCCUGCUGCGACUACGUCAGGGUCUGGAAUCACCAGCGAGGUUGCAACAGCUCCUGCUUCCGUUGAGAACUCGGAGACUGCAGAUUCGUAUUUCUCGUCUUUGGACAAUAUUAUCGACUUUGGACCGGAUUGGUUGCUGUCGUGUGACGUUUUGAAUUGGUGAAUGUGAUAUUAAUGUGGUGGUAGUAAUUAAAUAGAUGAGUGUAAUAUUAGGAUUAGAUUUAUAUUUUUUGCUGAUGGAUAUAGACUGGCUUUAAUCAAUAGGGAGGGGUUUGUUGAUUCUCAUUGAAGUUUAAUGGUUCUUGAUGAUAAAUUAAUAAAUAAAAUGUUACUAUUAAAGUUUACAAAUUGAUCAUUUUGGAGAUAAAAAUUAUAAUGUUUUGUUUUAAACACUGAAUCAUUCAUUAUAAUGUAAGACCAUGUUUAUCCGGUUUCUAAAUUUUUUUUUUUGUCUUAUCUGCUUUAUUAAAAAAAAAAAUUAAAAACGAGCCAAUCGCAGAACGUCAUGUGUCGGUAAGGCCCGCGAAAAGUGCAAUAACCCACAAAUUAUCGAUCCUUAUUUCAUAUCUUUUGUUACCGAUUUUUGCCUCUGGGGUGAGACCCACGCGUUAAAACCUCUCUUAUAAUCCCCCGAUAAACGUGCUCUAAGUCGUGGAAGCACCGUAGCCUAUUGGUUAAGGUUUAAAGGCUUCUACAUCCAGGUCUGAGGUUCAAAUCCCAGACUAUGCAAUUUAUUGCAGAUUACAGGAAAUCCAGGUUUCAAGUCCCGGAGAGAGCGGUUUAUUAAACAAUUAUGCAGACUAUAGAGGAAAGGCUUGCAAGGGAUCUUCAACAUGGUGCAAGUAAAUCUGGCCAGGCGUGGAUCUUCAUAGGACGGCUCAGGUGAUGCAGUUAGGCGUAGGUCUUCAUAAGGCAGGUAGUAUUGUCGGUUGUCGAAUCGUCUAUGUAAUAUUUCUUAUAUCAUAAUUGUAAGAUCAUAAUAAAUCAGCGUUAUAAAAAAAAAACGUGCUCUAAGUUGCGGACCAAAUUGGUCGUAUAAUGUUUUGUAAACCAAAGAAAUGCAAUUAGGAAGUAGAAAAAAGAGAGUUUCAGACAGUAAAAAUAAAUAAUUUAACUGAUCAUAUCUUAGGUACAAUGGGCCUGAGCCCAAUAAGAAAAAUAACAGCCCAAUCUCAUAUUAAUAACAGAGAGAAGUCGUUAGAAUCUGGUAGAUAGCCGGAGAAGAGACGCACAACGAAGAAGAAGAAGAAGGAUGAUAUACCGAAAGUGGAGUUUGCUUUCCGGUCCACCGGUUAUCCUCGGCGGAGCUGUAGUUGCCGCGAUCGCCGUCGGCAUCGUCUUACAGAACGUAUAUUCCCGCUCCAUCUCUUUUUGUUUGGAUCCUUUUUUUUUAUAACAGAGAUCCGUAACAGUCCGUUAGAUCUAUAUCUUGAUUAGCUAGUAAUUGAAAGGAACAGUCCUCUGAUCGAAAGUUGGUCCAAAGAUUUGAUUUUUUUAAUGAUUAGGUUACGAAAGGGGAGCAAAAGAAGAAUGUCUCACCAAACAAAUGAGAUCAUGGAUAAUGAGAAGAAGACGCUACACUACACAAGUGUGAGUUGAAACGUUUUUUAGUUCAUGGAGUGUUUGUUGUAAGCUCAAUAAUGCUUUUGAACACACAGAUCCUUUUGUGUCCGUUUUAAGUUUCUUGUUGCUAAUAAUAAUAAUAAUAAUUCAUUUUGCACAUUGAUUGAUAACAAGGCUCUCUAGAGUAAGUACAAAGUUUUAAACUUAGAAUGCUUGUGAACAUUUCUUCAUGCAUAUCUUCUUGGAACUCUCAUCCCGAACCCACGUUUUAGCUUAUCAACCCUGAGACCAUGUAAGCAUCAACCUCAGAUAACAUAUAAAGUUAAAGGCAAAAGAGAUAAGACUAUUGUGGAAAGCUUACGUUGGGGCGAGUUUGCCAAGACUCUUUAGCUCUUCACCUGUAUCUUCGUCUAUGACUCUCCCUGUGAUGUAAACAGUGUAGGAUCGAUCUCUGUCCCUAGGGAGACCUCUGGCAAUCAGCAAGCGCAGGUCUUUCUCGUGAAGCUCUCUUCCGUUCACAAACACUCGUGUGUUUCCUCCAGCACAGUUCUCUGGCAUUGGGUAGUUGAGCUCUUCAAUAAAAGGCUGUAAGAAAAGGAGUCACGCCACGUUAAGAAGAAGAAGCUGUAGAGAGACUGAAGAGUGAUGUUUACCGGUAAUAUUCCAAGACAUUGACCUCCCAUUACUCCCCAGAACCCAGCUCUGUAGUCAUACCUGAUACCAAGGAGGAGAAGAUAGCUUAGUAAAUGAGAAGAGUUUACGAGAUUGGAGGGACCUCGUGUACCAGUAGUUUCCUGGCCGGAUUGGUUCUGCUUGCUUCUCCGCCAUUUUCACCAGACGUUCAGCUACAAGAUGCCCAUUCACCAAAACAUCACUUCCCCCUUCGUUCUGCAUUGACUUCUUUAGAUCCUUGAAGCUACUUUUCACCAUACUCGCGAAUCCACCCUUCCUGGUUCUUCCAUCCUCUUCUAUAUAUUCAUCUGCAGAGUCUUGAGACACUCCAUUGUUGUGAGAGUAGUCAUUAACAUCCAUCUCGAUUAGAACCGAAGCUUCUUUCAUAGAGUUCUGUCUCUUGACUGUCUUGCUUAGUGUCACCCUGUUCUGUUCUGAACGAGAGCUUUGGCUCCUUGCACCAGACCGGUCCCUUGCAUUGAUGGAAGAGUAGUCAAAGGGAAAAUCUGGAAUGAGUUUCCUGUCUGAACUUAGCUCGUCUUCAGAGAAGCUAGGAGAAGCAGGACCAGUUGAUACAUAGUCUGGUCCUCUAUCCGUUGCAUCAGAAGAGAUGUCAAGAGCAGUUAACCAAUGCAGCCUACUGAGAGUUUCUUCUUCUUCUUCUUCUCCUCUUGCUGAAGCAUGAUCAGUUGAGAGGAUGAGUUUCUUAUUAUUAGCAAAGGAGAAAUCUAUCAAACAAGAACACGCUCCGCAGCGCAUUCUCUGUUGCUUUCUCGUAGAUGAAUCUGUUUUGUCUGGCAGUUUCAGAAUCUUGGAGCACUUUUUACAGUUUAUGAAUGGUGCACCACCAGCUACAGGGUGGACUAAGCGAGAACAACCUGAAGAUGAUGCAGCUUUAGAGAGGCGGACACGAGAUAUAGCAUUCUUUAACGCGUCCACAAGUUCAUUGGGACCACGAGAUUGAGAAGCAGGAGGGUGAGGAGGUAUAAAGGCUCUAGGACUAUCCAAUGGAGAAGGAAACGCAUUGCUUCUCUCGUAAGGGUAGAAACCGAUGUUAUGAAGAGCAUCAGGGAGCCCUGAGGGAGGAUAAACUGAGCCUGAAGCUCUAUGGUAUGGAUCAUAGCAGUGUGAACAAGAGCAAGUUGAGUGGUGAAGCAUCAUUCCAUUUCUCUGGUGUGUGUUAAACAAAUCAUGACCGUUGUUGCUAGUAUACUGUCUAGAGUAGUGGUGAUGAGUUUGAUGGUAAUAAGGACCUGCAAGGUGUUUACCAGAGCUUGGAAACCGCAGUGGAGGCUUUUUGGAUGACCUUGGGAUCUGUUGCUCUUUAGGUUGAUGAAGCUGUUCUUUUAGCUUAUCCAAUUUUUUCACCAGCUCAGCUCUGUCUUGCUGGAUCGCUUCAUCACUAGACACAGAAUCUUGAAAGUAGUUAGGAGCAGAGAAUCUGAACGACCGAUCCAAACCAGGUUGAGAACCGCUAACAACAUUCAGUUUUGAACAAGGAACAUCUGUUUGACCAGUUUGGUUGUGUCUUGAUGAAUCAUCAUCUGAAUCAGAUUCUUCUUCGCUUGAACAAGAGUUAACUUCAGUUUCUUUAAGUCUGGUUUUCACUGACUUGUCCGGGGCUGGAUCUGCUUCACUGUCCUUCUUUUUGGCUUUACAUAGAAAAAAAAUAAAAAAACUAUCAGUAAUCUUCAGUUCUUCAUCUAAAAGAGAAGAUUGUAAAACAAGAAACUAACCGCAAAGAACGGUUCCACAACCACCGCACUGGAAGAAGGAACAGUCUCUAGGCUCUGGUAAGAGAUUCUUGCACUUUGGACAACGAACUAGCUUCACUUCUAUCGUAGACUCGGCCAUUAGUUAAAACACUGAGCUGAGAAGAGAAAUACUCAACAAACAAUAUAAGAAGAAAGACCAAAGAAGACUGCUUCUUCUUGAAGCAAAGACAGAGAGGUGAAGUUUUUCUUUUUGCUUUUUCUUUAGUGAGCUUUGUUAGGUCUCUAGAGAGAUGAGGAAGGUGGAAUCUGUGAAGAACCUUAUGGUUCUAUUCGUUACUCUUUCACCUAAAACCUUCAUUUUCCCCCACAAAAGUAAAUUUGAAGAAGAGUAAGUCAGAGAGAUAGAGAGAGACAGGCUCUGCAGACUGUAGUUUCUUUCCUUAGACCUUUACACAGGCAGCAGUAAGCAACAGAACCGAAGAAUUAAAACAGCUUAAUGAUUUUGCUCUUUGCUCUUUAGGAGAAACGGUUUAAAAGAAUUUAAAGGUUUAGUUAGGCUUUGAUGGUUAUGUCAAAAGUCCAUAUUUCAUAUUUGGUUCUUUUUUCCACACAUUAAAGAAAACGACUGAUAAAGUGAACUCAUAAUCGAUUUAUUAUGGGCGGGACAGUCUACAAAGUGGGCCAUUUCUUCAUUUUCUGUUUCUUCUUUAUUUUUGAAAUCGCCAAGGAAUAAAUUUAAAGAUUAUUUUUGCUUUUUAAACUUUUUUGUUGGAAAUCCGGAAAUUUUCUUAUUACUGCUAAAAUUUGCAAAUUAAUAUUUUACUUAACAAUAAAAAAUUUCAUUAUAUAUUUAGAUAAUUAGUAAAAUACAGUUGGAAUAUAGUACUAGUAUGUAAGUUGAGCUCACAAAAUAUCAAAGAGGGAGAAAUGGUCAAAAGCUAAAGCUGGUUUUGAGACAAUAAAGAAAACAUUAAAUUGAUGAAGUGAGUAGUUAAAUGUCUAUUUCUCAUUUAAUUUUCUAAUUCACUUGUACUGAUUUUGAUUUUUUUGUAUAUAUUUUCAUCAUGUACUUGACUUUUGAAGACCUUACUGCAUUUUUAUUGAAUGUUUCAAUAUCUUUUUGUUAAAUAAACAAACCGUGUGAACUUUCUAUCUAACAUUUUUAACUUUUGAAAAAAAGAGAGAGUUACAGUUAGUAAAAUUUCAAAAGAUUGAAGGAGGGAGAGGAACCAAACUUAUUCCAAUUCAUUUGAGACAACGAAAAAAAAACAAAUUAAAGCAGGAAAAAAAAACAGAUAUGGUCGAAGGAUAUAUAUCCUACAUAGGAAUAAGAUUUAAAGUACAAAACUAAAGGUAAAGCAAACUAUCUUUUACAGUUUCGAACUCACUUCGAAUCAAUCAAUCAAAUUUGUUGUUGAAAAAAAAAAUUGUUAUUGAACUAGGAAAUUUCCAACACUGAAUAUGGGCCUAUAUGGGCUCAUUCGUAAUCUUCACGACCUGUAUUGUAUUACGCAAUAGGUAAAUAGCCGAGGUGAAGCUCGGGCCAUUACCUUGAUGGCUUGAUUAAUCCCAGAUAUCUCUAAACUACGUAUGAAGUGGUCAAUAAAGAGAACCAUGUGAUUUUUCUUCAGAAAAUCUUUAGAACAAUUUUUUUCAUAACAUAAACAGGUUAAAAAAAAAGAAGAAUUUUUUUUGUCACAUUUUAAUUAGUCAAAGUAGUUCUAAAAAUGCAACCAGGCAACAUUAUCUUCUUGAUUUCUUUCUUAAUUUCGUAAUUCUUCUUUCUAUUCCACCAAGAUUUCCUCCGUUGACUAGAACUUGUGAUCGUCUUAGAAGAAGCAUAUGCAUUGUUGUUGUCUUUAUCUUUUGCCAUCACAGCUUGUAGACUCAAACGGGGCGGCCGAACGUGAGCUGGAGAGAAAGGCAGCAGUUUGCGUUCGAUGAUGUGAGCAAAAGAGGCGAGCUCGUAAGAAUCGUAGAGUGGACUCUCACAGUCCCAUAUUUUGUGAGCACGACCAUCAGUUAAUACUGUGUUUUGUGAGUUAUAGGUUCUUCCAUGGAGUUGUGUGUUUGACAUAACUGAAAGACUUGAGAGUUUCUUCGCUAUCUUAUUUUCUGACAGCAACAAAUAAACUAUAGCUUUGUCUGAGUUGUGUCUCGGUCGAAGUGUGUUGUUUAUAUAAGGAUUGAAAAUCUGAGCUGGCUAGAUAGAAUUUUGUGGGUUGAGUGUGUGUUUUUACGUAGUAAUAAAUUGUGAGGCGGUUCUAUUAUUUACUUAAUACCAUUCGGUACUCGACGUAGCGAUAUGUGUAUAUGUGUAUGUGCUGCAUGCUGGUAUGUGAACGUUCCUGUACAAUUAAUAAUUUCCAGCUAUCAUUUUACAAAUAGAGGAAAAAGAUCUAAAUAUGCCACAUUCCAAAAUUGAUACUUCCAUUUGUAUUAUUGUGGAUUCUUUUCUAAAAAAAUAUAAUUAUUUUUCCUAAAUGAAAAGAUAUGGUACGCUUUAUUAUUAUUUAUCAUCUAUUUUGUUCAUGAGAACUUAAUGUGCCAAAGAGUAAAUAGUUUGGUGUGGGGAAAAAAAAGAGGGCAUGCAUGAACCUGGGUGUGUUGUAUAUAUGCUGUCCAAUGAAAAAGCGAUAAGGCAUAAGAUAUUCAUCAUCUUAUUUUGGAAAAAAAUAUAUUCAUCAUCAUAUUAUCGUAUAAAGCAGAAAAGAAAAAGAAACACAUGUGUAAUAUACUAAUAUAUAUGAAAAUAACUUAUUUACCAGUUUAUCAUUUUAAAAUAUCGUCACAUUUUUUUUAUGAUCGGAGAAAGUUCCAGCUGCAACUUUUUUACUGCUUGAAUCAACGUAGUUUGGUUGUCGCAUUUUUAUUAUAUUUAAGAUUAUAACUGUUUGAUGAGUGUUUUGAUUUGAAAUAUACAGUUAGGAAU
This 66330-nucleotide long non-coding RNA is filed under the name Brassica napus (rape). Its description in RNAcentral is "long non-coding RNA (BNAP_LNC003942)". Lineage: Eukaryota; Viridiplantae; Streptophyta; Magnoliopsida; Brassicales; Brassicaceae. The record is from RNAcentral.